AGUUAAAAAUAAAAGUCCCCUUAACCAGACCUUAAGUUGAAUUUUGAAAUUAAAACAUUAAAAAAGAGGAGAUAUACCUCAUAUCUACAUCUAAUGUAUAAAGACUAAUAUCCAAACUGUUCUAUAAAAAAAGAACUAUACUUGCUUUCAAUUGGAUCAUUGAUUGGUGGGUGACCCAUUUGAACGUCACUCAAACGCAAUGGUAACUAAUAGCACCAGGAGAAAACUGAACCAUAUUAUCGAUGGCUUGGAGACAAUGCAUGACAACAUUUUGUCCUAUUCUCGUACUUUUGUUAAUGUCCCAACAAUUCCAACCAUACUCAUUCAAAAAUAUGAAAACAAGCAAUAUUCAAAGCAUUUAAAUUUAAGAUGAAUGAAGGUGUUGUUAGUUAAAGUCUCAUAUAGGCGGCAUUUGAAUGUGAAAACAAUCAAUUAAAGGAUGAUUUGGAGGUAAGUACGAAUCAUUGAAAGAGCAAAAAUUUUAUUGUACGCUGUCAGAAAAUAAUCAUAUGUUUAUGAUGAUUUCUUUUCUGUCAUUACAUAUCUUGUGAUCCGUCGAGAAACAGUCAAUUUAAAUUUUAGGUUCAUCUAAUACUUUUUAGUUUGAAAUUAAAGUAUUUAGAUAUGAUCAAAUGCAUGAUCAAAGAUAAUUCCUAUCUCUGUGCGGUUGACAGACAGCAAAGGUUCCCAUGAAAUAUCUUUUAUGCAGCACUUUAUUUUAAAUCAAUAACAGUAAUUAGCAUAUAAACCCUCGUAAUUUUAUUUUCCAAUAAAGAUUUCGUGUUGUUAAUUUUCUUGAAAUGCGUUGCUUGGCCAAGAAAUAUGAGAUCAGUACACAUUUGGAGUCGUUGAAGGGGAAACAAGGACAUUUUCAUGAAUUUUGUGAAGUCGUCAAGACAAUACCAGUCCCCUCGACACAUCGAAAAUAUUUUGAAAACUGGAAAGUGCCUACCAAAUGCAUGCUUACCCCUUCUAUGCAUCCUCUUUUUUUAAUUUGGAAGUGUUUUUGGUAAUUCGUUAGGGAAACAUGGAUGAAAUAAGAAAUGAUGUUCAAAACUUUGGCACAUGAGAUUGGAAUUGAACCGAUGACUAUGCAAACUGAUAUAAUUAUCCAUCUCCAAAGUCAGCCCACUAGCAAGGAAAGUUCACUGACCAAGCGAUCUCAUAUACACCUCCCUCUCUCUCUCUCUCUCUCGCGAAGCUCCCAUGGUUCACACGACUCUGUUCAUUUGUUUAAAGUAAAUGCUCUUCACGUAGGUGAUUUGAGGGGAUAGAGAGAGCCAUGGCUUUUCAAGAUUUGAAUGUCACACUUGAAAAGCAUUUGUCCGUUCAUUUUCAAAGAACUAUUGAUUAUUAUUGACUAACUCUUAAACUGCUCUGUUCAUUUUCUAUUACUAUUAGGAAUCUAAAUGUCCUGCUAUAUCCAAAAUCUUGGGGAAGGAUUAGAAAACAAAUUCAGUGUCCUGCAUGAGCUUCUAACAUAUGGUGAAUUUCGAAGUUGCACAUACCUUCUGGAACCCCUGCAUUGGGUUCUCCCUCUUCUUCAUUUACUGGGGGUGGCAUGUGAGUCAAAGCUUGAGGUGCAAGGUCUCCGCCGCCGCUGGGAUGACUCAAAUUCCAUGGCUGAAUGUUAGAAUUAACGCCAUGAGAUUGAGGAGGUUGUGUCCAGAAUAAAAUUGCCCCAUGCGUGGUCAUGUUUUGAGUAGGAAGAUACUGACUGGGCACAUUCAUCUCAUGCAAUGGAUGAAAGUCUGAUGAACUUGCACCUACAGUGCUUAUGGCAUUAGAGCUCAGGUAUGGCAUGGCAAGAAAUGAAGUCUCUCUCCAACCAUCUUCAUUGCUUGCAAUCACAGGCUGACCAUCUUCAUUGCUUACAAUCACAGGCCGACCAUUGCUUAUGGCAUUAGAGCUCAGGUAUGGCAUGGCAACAAAUGAAGUCUCUCUCCGACCAUCUUCAUUGCUUCCAAUCACAGGCCGACCAUCUUCAUUGCUUGCAACCACAGGCUGAUGCAGACCCACUUCAUCGUUAUCUGGUCUGCUGCUCGAUUCCACCACUGUUUUACCCUUCAUCGCCUUUCGGGCUUCCGAUCUCACUCGGCCAUCAACAUCCUUGCAGUCAUUGAUCCCAUAUCCUCCAACUCCGGCUAAGUGGGCCUUGAUCCUGGUCGCGCUUCCAGCAUACGGCUUCCCACAGAAGUUGCAGUUCCAGUGUUUGUUAGGCAGCAAUUUCACAUACUUCCAAAAGGGGUCCGUCUCUCUAGGCAUUUUCUCUGUAUCCCACAAAAGAAUGGACAGAUAAGUUUCAAGGAAGACCUUGAAUUUUUUGGGUGAAGAAUGACGCCGAGGCCUGUAAGAUAUUUAAUUAAUUUCGGACUUAGGAAUUGGGUCAAAAUCUUCAUCAAUCCCCAAUUCUUUUAGAAAAAGGCCCUGCUUCAGUGACCCCCACCCUCAUUUCUACCCAAGUUCUCUUUUCACUCUCAGAUAUGAAGAUGACAUGUUUGACUGGGUUCUGGAAAUUUUGCUCUUCAAAUUUGUAACUACUCUUUUGUUUUUUUUUUUUUUUUCAAUGUUAUCUUAUCUUUGGGAACGUGGUUUUCUUUCUUGUUCAAUGCUCAUGGGUGUGCACGCUCUUUCUUGGGUAAUCUCUCUAUCAUGCACUCUCCCUUCAGCCCCUAAUCUUGCCCCUUGCCUCCGCUUACAGCAAAAUUUCAUGGCCCGGGCUCAGCUGCAGCCUCAAGUUUUUCCAUUUACUUGGUUGGGUUCUUUACAAACUAAUUCUAAGGAUACAUGGUAAACUCUCCAGUUUACAAGCAUCAAGUAUGACUUGACCGGUGGCUUCCAAAAGCUAGUUUGAGUUGAGAUUUGCAACGUAGUUCAGACAUGGCUCUAUAGCAUCUGGGACGAAGCACCUGACUGACCACUCAGCUAAUUAUGAAAUUUAUUUUUGAUAAAGCAAUAAAAGUCUUCGUUCUGGGCUCACCGGCACCAUUAUGUAGUAGAGAAUACAUCCCGAUAAAAAGAAAAUCAACAAAACCCAGACAACCCAUGAAUCGACGAUUACGGAGCGACAUAAACUAGAGGACAUGAGACCGAAGUGCAAAAAUUUGGGUUCACAGGAGAGAAAUGGGAGAACGAAAAGGGAGUAGAGAGAUUGAGAGAGAGCGAGUACCUCCGAGCCGGUGAGAAGAGGGCUUGGGGUUGAAUCCCUUAAGAGAGCGUCCGCGAUGGGAAACGAGGUUAGCUGAAGCGGAGGAAAAAACUGGGGGCAACCCUCUGGUUUUGUGCAGAGGAAGGAGCCGAACACCUCGACGGACAUCGGAGACCUGCCUGGGACGAUCUAUAUAUAAUAAUCUUAAAACGUCUAGGACGUCUCAAGAAAAAGGUAAUCUACAUGUAUUCCGGAUGGGUGGGUUCACACUUGACUAAGCAAAACGUUUCUGACUGUCCAGUAGAAAGUAAGGCCUUUAUUUAUAAUAAUAAAAAUUAAGAAAACGUCUAAAACGCCUCAAGAAAAAGGUGAUCUAUAUAUAUAUAUAUAUAUAUAUAUAUAUAUAUAUUAUAUAUUCCGGAUAGGUGGGUCCAUACUUAGACUAAGAAAAAGUUUCGACUGUCCAGUAGAAAGUAAAGCCUUUAUUUAUAAUAAUAAAAAUUAAGAAAAUUUCUAAAACGCCUCAAGAAAAAGGUGAUCUACAUAUAUGUAUAUUUAUUUCGGAUGGGUGGAUUGUACUGACUAGGCAAAACGUUUUCACUGCCCAAUAGAAAAUCUAUCACUUUUUUUUGGAAAAAAAUCUAUUACUGACUCCACAAACAAAUUCAGUCGACGAAUGUUAAUAUGCCUAGAUUAUUAGAAUUAUUUUGAUCAUAUUUCUGACUAUCACAAAAUUUCAAUCAGCAUUUAAGCACCAAAAAAAAAAAAAAAGGAUUCGUCAAAAAAAAAGGAUUCUCACGAGUCCGCUCAAGGUUGGUUGACCCAAAGCAACGUGAAAAUUUUUGGGUCCAAGUUGAAUAGACUCGAUUUUUUGGCAGGUCAGGAAAAAUGUUUCGAGGGUGGAUUUCUUUUUUUUUUCCUCAUCGAAAGUAAAUAUUUUAUUCAUAUCUCGAAAUGAUAUAUAAGAGGUUUAAAAUAAACAUAUUCCAAAAAGUAAAACAACAAAACACAAAAUUGCUAUGAUUGGCACACUUUGAUUUUACAAGAAUGAAUUUGUCUCAGCAUCAAAACAUAACAAAGGGCAAUCGAUUACUAAAUCCCACAUCAUCCACCGUAAUCCCCUUGUUUAUUCAAUAGACGGUGCACGCUUAAGUUCAGCAUUUUAACACCACUAUCAUACAAAUACACUAAAAAUAAGUUGAAAAAAGCUCCCAAAUCUAAAUCUAGAUAGGAUGAGGUUGGACAAGCACAAAAACACCUCUAAAGAAUUCACAAAUUUAGAUUUAGAUCGGAAGAUAAAAGCUCCUAAAACUCGGAUAAGUCACUGCUUCCAAGGCAUUAGGAACUCAUCUUAUUUCUUCUCGAUUUUGUUAACCUUCUUAAUUUGGAGGAUCUCAAGCAAUGGAUUGAUAUCAAACGAUGAAAGCAAAAAAUAUGCCAAGAGAGCAAAGAAGAGUAUGGGUAGUGAGCUAGGAAAAACAAAAAAGAUUAGAUGAAAACAAUAAAACAUUCUCGGAUCAUAUCAGGAUAAAUAAUCUUAGUUGAGAAGAUGGAGCCUCCCUUUGACUGACCAUUAUUUUUCAGGCUUGAACGGGAACAAAUUUAAUCAUUGUUUUAAAUUCCUCCGGCUCUUAACGAAUGCUAAAAGGAUUGGUGUUUUUUAAUUUCAAACAAAUUCUGGUUCUUUUUCUCCAAUCAUAUCCUUAAUUUUAAUUUAGAUUUCAAUACAUAUUAUUAUUAUUAUUAUUUUAUUUCUCUUCCCCUGCCAUCCACUAAAUUCAUCAAUAACCGAAAUUUAUGUUGGGAGUUAGCCAAGGAGAUCGAGAGGGAGAAAUGAAAUAGGGAAGGGGGUGUAUCAGCCUUGACAAGACAUGAUUGCGAGAAAGUAGCAAAUCACGGCGGCGGUGGGGCUCGAGAGGGGGAGGACGGCAGGCCCCUCGGCGCAUGCACCGCCAUCCCUCUCUCUCCAAUGCGGUUGGGUCUUGCGACGUCAGCAAUUGGUGAGGCGGCCCGCACAUUUGUGCUGACCCGGAGCUCCAUUCGGCAGCUCCGUGUCCCCAUGCUUUGCUACUAAUCGAUCGGCAAAUUGGCCAAUAACAUUAUUAUCCUUCUCAGAUUCAAUACGCGCGCCCUUCUCUUCACAUCCUUAUCAUUUGAGAGAUCAUCUAAUCCAGCUACAUUGACAAUCUUGUCUUGUGGUUCAUAGAUGCUAAACUCCUAAGAUACAAUGACCGGAACACAUCAUUAACAUGACUUUCUUUACUAGUAGGCAUUUAUGGAACAAGGGGAGUUGGCACCCUUGAGGGUGUCUAGGCGAGUCUCUAGAGAGCUCAUUGGAUCUUGCCCAAUCAGUCGUAAUGAUCGUCACCAGUGGAUGGCGGCAACUGUGGCAGCCAACGGCAGUAAUGGUAGAAGGAGAAAAGAGAAGGAAGAAGAACAAGAACAAAAGAAGAAGAGAAAAGAAAAGAAAAAAAUUUGGAUUGCUUAAUUUUGAAAUUGUUCUCAAGAACAAAGAAAUAACUCUAUUUUACUCAUUGAUUUUUGUUCUCGAGAACAAAAAUUUACCAAACAAACUUCUGUUCCAAAACUAUUCCUGAAAAAAAAAAUAAUAAAAAUUGUUAUUAUUUGACAAGUUGCCGAACGCGUUCUAAGACCUACACAAUAAAUUGGUUUACUUAGUGAUGGGACAAUCUGUAAUUAGUUAUUUUCAUUAGCAAAAUCUUUUAACCACCCAAUAGAAAAUCCGUCACUUGACUUGGCCAACAAAUUUAGGCCCCGAGUGUUAUUAUGCCUGGAUUGUUAGAAUUAUUUUGAUUAUAAUCAAAAUCCCACACAUUUUUGUUCAAACACAACAUCCACGUAGGAAAACUAAACUCUUUCAAAACGUCCUUUAGUAUGUUGGUCCAAAGCUUAUGAUCAAAUUCCUACAUUUUCUUCUAAUCUUGUUUCAUCGCAUGUGAACCGUCUACUGUAGCGUCUUAUAUAAAUCAGCGGUUGACGCAUUAGCAUUGCAUCGUAUUACGUUGAUCCGUGAGCUUUAUUUUCAUGUGAGAAGGAAGUUGUAAAUUUUACGUGUGUAAAGUAAAUGGUUUGGGAAUUAUUUGGCAUUAACUUUUCCACCAGAUGAAAUUUUUUGCAAGCCAUCCGACCAUGUCAUGCUGUGUUUCUGAUUUUGGCAAUCCAUCCUCUUUUAAGUGGAUUUCCAUACAUCUAUGUACUUGGAUCUCAACACAUUCUUUUAGUGGGAGCUUAUAUGGUCCUUUUAAGGGGUUGAUUCUUCCGUCAUAAUCCCAUUGCAAUUCCAAACUUUUUGUCAUAAGUCUUAUGGAAAGUAUCAAUAAAACUUCUAAGUUUUCAAUCAUUGACCAAGUUCUGUCUUUUUCAUAAUUCUACGAAUGCCAACUCUUCUAGGAAAGAAGAAUUAUUUGUAUUUGUAUUUGUAUUAAUUCAGUAUCAAGGAUUGUACGAUUCCCUCCAUAUAUUUUUUGCCCCUUAAUUAAUUGCUCUACGCAUCACGAGGGUCAAUCUAGCUUGGUCCAAGAAAGGUAAUAGGCCAGGCUGUCCAGUCUGUCAAGUCCCGCUCACGUGUCGCCCUUUCAGACACAAGCGCGCGUCCUAUUCUUUCGUUUCUCACGUUGAAUUCGCCAAUUCGAUUUAUUCGUACAGCUUUCGCAAUCCGAGGACGGUGCCAGGAAACUCCCAACGUUUUGAUCGAUCAUGUCCUAAACUGGAUCCAUGCUGGCCCGGUAACCAAUAAUUCAAGCUCCAACCCCAUUAACGGAGUAGCUUAAAGUUAGAAGCACCAACAAUCAGAGGACCGUCGACAUAACUCGUCCUUACGAAAAUUUCGUAAAAAGGAUCUUCCAUCCGAGGACAACUAUCGUGUGCGAUCGCCCCGCGCGGUCUGCUUUCGAAAUGCUUCCUGUAGCUGCAACCAAUCUGACCAAUAUCUUCUUCCACUUGACCUCCAUAAUGGAGUUUUUUUUUUUUUCUUUUUUUGGGGUCGGAUCCAUAACGGAGUUUAAUGGAUCUUAACUGUGUGCCCUUUUUGCAUAUCUCCUUUUUUUUUUUUUUUUGCACAUCUCCUUUUUCAGUAAUGUGAUGAAGUUUUUAGCUGUAUGUGAACAGACUUUUGUUUGUCAACACGGUAGGACUUCGGUCAAGGACCGGAACUUCUCGGGGAUGGUGUGCUUCAAACUAGAAUAAUGACCCCACAGAAAGAUGGAAAGAAGGAACUCAUUAGUCUCGAAGUUGCCAAUUUUAUAUUGGAGCUUGUCGACGGGUACGUUUCGAUGACUAUAUUAUGGUUCGAUAACACUGGAAAGUAAUAUGGUCAUUUGACAUGCCCAAAAGCAUUUAAACAUAAUCUCAAAAGGAACUGGUUUUAAUGUUGUCCGGAUGGCAAGAUGGCCGGAACAGAUUGCAUCCCUCGCUAGGUUUCAGUUGGAAGAAUCUGAUGCAAACGGCAAUUUGGGUUCUCUGUCCACCCCAGAGGAAAUUCGCAAUGAAGACUGAAGUCACGGGGUUGAUUGACACUAUGGACUAUGAAACGGUCCACAUAGUUGCCUUUACAAUGGAUACGAUUACGGGAAAUCUGUGAUUUACUAGUCUAUUCUUUAUUAAUAUCAUAUUACUAGAUUCUAAAUACACAUAUAUAACUUGAGUUUGUGAUGAACAUUGACAUAAAAGUACUAUACAAAAAUGUUAGAAAAGACACCUACAUUCUAGAAAUCCACAAAAGAGUCAAAUUAAGUAUGAGAAAAAUAGCAAUUUCACCAUGACAAGUACAGUUACUAAGUACUCCGAAUUAACCAAUUCAAAUUACUCGAAGAGGCGCAUUCAAUUGACAGGGGAAACAAAGGAGUACAAAACGAUCACGGGGUAAUAAGAAUAGUAGGGAUUCAUGGAGGUACUUGAAAUGUCUUAACAAAUAAAUAAUUAUAGGAGUGAAAUAUUGAUAUAAUUUGAAAAAAAAUAAAAGCAAGCCUGGACCAUAAAAAAAUAAGAAAAAUAUAUAGGAGGACUUACUUGAAGAGUACUUAGCACAUGCAUUUCCUUCGAUACCUCGAUCUUGCUCAAAAGGCAAAUCAGAUUUUGCCAAAGGUUCAACUUUCCCCACAAGAAGUAAAGCAAUGCAUUCCUUGGUCCUCACAACAUCUUUUGUGGACGAGAACAAAACUCUUAACUCCGUCGGUUCCCUUUAUUUUAAUAAACACAUUCACCAAAAAAAAAACCACAUUCAUAAGGCUCUCCAUCUCCCAUGGACGACGCCGAUCUUGUGAUAUCUAUUCAUUUUAUUUGGGUUUUGGCUGAAACUUUUUUUUUAACACUUCUUUUGCUAAUUUAGAGCGUAACUUUUUCUACGAACCGUUCAGAUCGAUAGAUGGGGGUGCCUCGACAUCCCAAAGGGAUGUGAUUUACAACUCCCCUCCGCCCAAAAAAAAAAAAAGAAAAAAGAAAAAGAAAGAAAGAAUAUAAUGGAUGUGUGUUGUCUGGUUUCAUCAUCACUUCUGGUGGUAAACUGGCAACGCAUGUGACGCCCUGUACGCUACUUACAUACUUUAUGGAUAGGUCAAGAAUGGUGGGCAGUGUCGUGUCGUGAGAUCUGGUCGACCUGAGAGAAGGUGAGGGAAAAUAGUAUCAUAGCCUUGUUGACCAGCGUCUUGUAAGACACGUGCUCAAUUAAAUCUACGAUAACAACUUUUUUCACAAAAAUCUAUAAUAUAAUUUCUAAAUGAAAAUAAUAUGACCGUUCGGAUUAUUUUUCAAAGUCCAUAAAAUCUCAAUGGUACCAAAAUGUUCGAACUUGCCAGGUUUUUAUUUACUUCCCCAAUCAUAUAUUUCCAUACUUUAAGCUAAUAUUAAAGUUCAGCUUACUCGUGAGGAAGACUAUUAAAAUAUUUAAAUAAAAAAUCAUAUUUUCAUUUAACAACUUGAUUUUUUAAAAUAGUUGACAAUAAUCACAAAAUCUCACACAUAUAUUACUACAUCAUACUUUGGAGUCAUUUGAUGACCACGUUAGCUGAAUUUGGUCGGAUUUGGUCUCGGAAGCAUUUGAUUAGUAAAUUUGUUGAAGUAGAAGGAAUUACUUAGACAAAUUAAAAGUAUAAUAAUGUAAUCAGAAAAAGUGUGAAAGUACAAGGGCUAAAAGUAGAAAUUUUCUUUGUCCGAGAGAUACAAUUUUCCGCAAAUUCAACAUAGAGUUGGUUGUGCCACCUAGUGAGAGAGCUCCUUAAGCACCGAUGUUGCGGUAAACUCACCUUUCAUGUCAAUGAACUACUGGGGUUCUUGCUCUUGUGUAAGGGCAGGUUACCAUUCACGCUGGUACUUAAAUGUUUAAAUAAGAGGAUUAGAGUAAAAUUGUUAGUAACAUAAUGGCUAGACAUUUCUUUUUCUACAUUUCAAUAGCAGGGGUAGUAACUUUGAUCCAUCGUAAGUCUCUAAUCGUAAGCUAUAUGUUGCCUUGGACAACAUGGCAAUGCUGUUGAGAUAUGGACGGUUCAUUGUGUCGAGUACAAUGCCUUCAUCUGAAAAUAACUACGAGUCGAAGUUCGGUAUAAGGUGUUCUCAUCAGGCGAUGCAACUGCUUUAAGGCAACACAACAUCUCGAAAGAGAUGUUCUUGCAAACAUUCUCUCCUCCUUUUAGAGACAGAUUUUGUCAUCCUCGUUUCUCACGUCCGAAAGGCAUAACCAAGAAAAAUUAAGAUGAAAGAAAGCGAUCAUAUGUUCCCGUAGUCAAUGCUGCUGUCAUCGCCCGCGACCCUUAAAAUCUUCUACAAAGGAAGUAAUUGAGUGAAACCGAAAGACAAGGAAAAUCCAAUCAUCAAGAACAGUCAUAUAGGUCUCCAUUUAUCGGGUUUAGUUUAAAGUAAGAGAAUUGAGUUCUUUCAUACACUCGUGCAUGCACUCUCCCCACCUUCCGUUUCUGCCAUUGUAUCAUACAGAGGCUGAUUUAACGUCUCCAGGAGGUAAAACGCUAGUGUUCCUCCCAGAAUUGCAGAAACCGCAAAGAGUGCAAGGGGGAAGCCGCCUCCUAAGACCACCAUGAAAGGUGCCAAAGUCGGACCCAUUUGCCACGCCUGAGCUGCCUACGCCUGAGCUGCACAGCCAAGAGCUGCAUUCCUCACCACGGUCAGAAACAGCUCCACCGUGUAGAGAAAGAGCAAAUUAAACGUGCUGGCAUGCCAAAGAUCCGGAGAAUUCCUCAACACCAUCCUCACCACUUUCCAUACCCGUGUAACAUCAUCAAGCUCUGCCGUUAUUGUAAAGGCCGCCACCUCAGCCACCCCCUAGGGGAACACAUUAAGGUAAAGGUUAGUCAGGAGAUUGACGACAUUUAGGUUUAUGCCGUCGUACAUGACUGAAUACAGGAAGUUGAUUGCCACGGCCAAGUGAUAGGCAACGUCACCACAUCAAUGAGAGACCCCUUCGUGUCCAUAUGAUCUUUGCAGGAUCAAACCUGAUAUGAGUUUUCAUUCACUUCCUCAUCCAGUGCAAGGAGAGGUUGGGACACCUGGAGUGCCAUAACUUGGCACGGAGGGACAUUUAAGUGCUAUAAUUUUAAAAUGGUACACUUAAGUGCCAAUAUCGGAGUAAAAUGGAACACUUAAGUGCCACUCCGGCGAAAAUCCGGCCAAAUGGCUGACGUGGCAAUUUUCCGGCGAGUUUGGUCCAAAACGGCGUCGUUUUGCACGCUGACGUGGCGGAGAAAAUACAAAAACGACACCGUUUCGUGUCUACGUGUAAAUAAUAAUAUAAAAAUUAAUUAAAUUAUAUUUAAAAUUAAUUUAUUUAAAAAAUUAAAAAAUUAAGAAAAAUUUNNNNNNNNNNNNNNNNNNNNNNNNNNNNNNNNNNNNNNNNNNNNNNNNNNNNNNNNNNNNNNNNNNNNNNNNNNNNNNNNNNNNNNNNNNNNNNNNNNNNAUGAACGGAUCGACUAAAUUCGCCGGAAUUCGCCACGUAAGUCAUUUGGUCGGAUCUUCGCCGGAGUGGCACUUAAGUGUCUCAUUUAACUUCAAAACAGGCACUCAAGUGUACCAUUUUAAAGUUAUGGCACUUAAAUGUCCCCGGUGCCAAGUUAUGGCACUUGAGUUGUACUUUUGCCAGUGCAAGGAUGACCCCAUCGGCGAGGUUUUCAUGUUGGCUUUGGCGAUAGCUCGCACAAGCUUCACGCCCUCGUCAAUCCUCCCACGGAAAAGAUAUCACUGUGGGAAUUCCGAGUUGUAAGGGAGGACAUAGCAUGGAGGGAAUGGAGGAAGCAAUGUAGAGAGCCCGCCUAGACGGAAACACAUAGAUGAUGCCGUACGAGAAGAUAUAGAAAGUGGACGUUCCUGCUGCCCCGCGAGGCUCAGUGAAUAUCAUGAAAGCGCGUACGAUCCCACCCGUGCUGAAUCCGGUAAUGAAGCGGACGGGGCAAUAGGUCUAGUAAUCCGUAGGGUCGUCAAGCAACAAAGGUGGUGUUCAACAUACAACCACCUUGAGAGAGCCUUUUCUUCUCAAGAACGAGUCUGAGGCACGGCCAAAUGUUCCGGCUCCUGCGACAUACGGCAUAAGAAGCCACCAGACUAUGAAUCAAUCCCUCAGAAAUAGCGUCUCGUUAAGCAGAUAGAUAACAAGUUUAUGCGUAGACGUUUGUAAUUGCUUCUGUUUAUAAUGCACCCUCCUACAGUUUCUUGCAUGAGGAGGAAAUCCAAUUAAUCGAAUCUAAAUUGAACUAUUUGUUUUUCAUUUUGCUUCCAUUUAUCGUUUGACGCUCGAGUCAAGAUUAGACGAUUGUUCUUAGGAAAAAGGAUGAUGAAAAGAAAGAGACUGAUUGAGUUGACUGCUUUUCCAUCAACUAGCCCAAGCUGAGAAUUAUACUGCAUCUGUGAGAUUGAAGAGUAUUUUCUAUGAAGCUUAACCACAGCCAGUCAUACAUUCGAUAAGGAUAAUUUAAUUUAAGUUGUUGGUUAUAUAUCACAAAGUUCCUAAAGAAUCAUGACAAGGCCCAUUCGGAGGACCUUUCAAUUUCCCUUCUGCAUACAUCAUCUACGUCUAUCAUUGGUUUGAUUUCUGCUAAGUGCCUGAGGUGCUGGUGCUAGUCCUCGGACUACGGUCACCGAAUCCGGGCCGUGACAAUUUUGUAGGUAAAUUACAUCUCCGCUUUGUGCCUAAAGGAGCACUUCGUCAAUGCGCUCUCUCUCAUCCCCACACACACUUGCAUUUGCGAUCAAUGUCAAAUCCAAUCAACAGUCACGUUUAUAUCACCAGCUGUCCUAAUGCAUAAGACUCUAAGGACGUAAAGAAGGACGUGGCAAACAUAACCCAAGAAGAAAGUUAAAAAGAGUGUUCCGCGACAAGAUGUGAGAGUGCUAGUAUGAACAAAAUAAAGGAGUUAAGGAAGAGAAUAAGAACACAAGAUUUAUAGUGGUUCGGCUUAAUCCAAGCUUACGUCCACUCUCCCACGAUAACAGCCUUUUUGGCUGCAUUCCACUAUGCAAUCAACAAGAGAUUACAACUCCGAGUGCAAACACUUAGUAGUAGAUCACACUAUCUCACUAAGUCACUCUCUUGGUAUUUCUCUCAUGAUUACAAACGUUUAAGCUCUCAAGAGACAAGUAUAUGAUCUAAAGUCGCUUAGACUUUGGAAUUAUAAAUUCUACGCUCCGUCUCUUACUUGCUCAUCGGUCCAUGAUCUCCUUAAAUACUCCUCCACUUCCAAACUACCGUUGGACAGUAUCCCGGAGAAUCGUCUUCCAAUAUACCCAUUGGACAGCUCUGUAUCUAGAAGAUUUGGUAGCCGUUGAGUGACAAAGGUAAAAUCCCAAAUUGAUUCCGAUCGCCCAUACAAACAAAAUCUUGGUUUCCAUAAGUAAAGCUUCUUCAUAUAGAAAGUUCUUGUCUUCAUCAUCCAAUUGUCAAUCAAUUAGAUUGAAUCAAUCAAAUCAAUCUUGAUGUGGAAUCCAAACCAGAUCACUAGCCGUUGUAUGAUUGGGCUUGAGUUACGAUUCAUCGAAUCUGGAUGUAAAGUCUAAGUCUUGAGACUUUACGAUAUGAGUCUUGAGACUUUACAAACUGGGUCUCUAGACUUUACAAUCUGGGUCUGUAGACUUUAAGGUCUGUACCCAAUUCAGCUUCAGCAUAGAGUCUGUCUUCAGACUUUGAGUCUUGAGUCUGGCAGUCUUCAGACUUUGAGUCUCGAGUCUGGCAGUCUUCAGACUUUGAGUCUUGAGUCUAGCAGUCUUCAGACUUUGACACAGAAGUCUGGAAAUCUUCAGAAUAUAUUUUGGACAUGUGUUACGUUCAGUCUUCUGGUCGUCUUCUGACUUUGAUAAUAUCCUCUACAUGUUUUAACAUCUGCAUGGUCUAUUACUCAACCAUCAAACAUGUUAGUAGCCUUUGAUUUAUUUUGUCAUCUUCAAAACAUCAUAAGGGAUUUCCCUAACAAGAUGCCCACCUGAAAAUCGGUUCUACUUACAAGGAUUUAUUCACAUCAGAAAAGAAAAAAGAAAAAGAAACUCCUCAUAUCUCCUCUCGCGUCCUAUCGUUUCUCUUCUUAAACUUUGUUCCUCUAGAGAUAUUUGUCAUAUUUCUUUUGAUUUUCUAUAUCUAUUUUGAUUAUACAUAUCUAAUUUAAUUGUCUUUGAUAGUAUAGACUCUCCAUGUACUCUUUUCUAUGCAUCGAAAUAUAGGAAAUUUCCUAUCCUCUCUCCCAACAAGAUGUUAUUUCAUGUGUUAGAAUAAUUUACCUAAAUGAAUAGCUCUUUGGUCUACUUUAUUUCUCAGUGGCCCUUUUGACAUGUAUCUACAUUGUUAAAACAGAGAAUUAUUUUCGUUAUUUGAGUUUAAUGAGAUCUGAAAAAGGAUAAGUCAAAUUUUACUUUUCUAGACUUCAGCAUCUUUCCAACAAGGUUGUCAGUAUUCAUUUUGUUUUACUAAAUGAGAAAUGUUGGACAUACAAAAUAUUUCUAAAACUGAUAUUAAAUUUUCUGCGGCCCUUAAUCCUUUGUCAUCUUUAUAUUCCGAUCGUUUCAUGAGCACGAAAAGUGAUUGUUGGACACAUAAGGAUUUGUAUAUCAGUUGAUGCCGAAUUUUCGUAUAGUUAGAAUGACUCUUUUUGUAAAGUCAGUGCGAGAAUCAUGUUUUGCAUGUACAAGGAGCGCCUUGGCUGCAAAAAACAAAACAAAACAAAAGAGCAAGGACCAUUGCCACUAUUAUUCAUUCAAAAUUAGGGACUAUGUUUUUUCCCUUAAUUUCCAGACAGCGCCAUAACAAUGAAAUUUCAAUAAUAAGAUAACCAUUACGCGACACUUUCAAGCUGAAAUGAAAGUAAUUGUGUGGUACGACACAAGGGAUAGAACCGGAGGAAGCGUUCAAGUGCAUACGGGGCAAGAAGAAGGUCCCACUCCAGCGACUCCCAUGUUUGCCGAUUGUCUAUUGUAAUCACUCGAAGAGAAGGCUGAGGAGACGGGAGGCCAUCAUCAGGCAAGAAGAGCUGCACAGGAAUGGUCUUGAGGUGAGGACAUCGUUUCGCACUAAUAUAUCCUAGGGAAUGGCAACUCAUGGUGCCAUCAUGCCAUCACAUAUGCUCCUCAGUUUCGGAAGAUCCCAUAGAGUCGGGCAUGUUAAAUCUGGGAAGGAGGAGGGCGUCAUGUUGGGAACGGUGCCUAUUAUCACCUCUAUUCCCUCGCACUCUUCAACACCUGUUGGAGGAGAGGGAGGUGGAGCAACAUGUUGUGUGUCAGCAACACCUCCUUCACGUUGUUGCAUCCUUUUAUUAUGAGAUUUUUAAGAAGACAAGUGACACCUCUUGGAAAUGGACCGCCAAUCAUCUCCUCUAAUUUCUCACAAUAGCAUGUUGUAAUGCACUCCGGGUUUGGAAGGCAAGUGGUCAGCCACUCCCAUUCCACCGCUCGCUUCAUUUUAGGACACUCACCCACAGAAAUGUUUUGAAGACUAGCUGCUGCUAUAUUAAUCCCUGUAGUACCUCUGAGCCCUUGAUAUGCACAAGUAGUAGACUUGGAAGCCCCUGCCCCUCUUCUAACUUCAGUCUGGAGCACCCAGUCACAUUCAAGCUCCGUAGGUGAGGGAAGUGGAGAGGACCCAGCUCUUCCAAGUUAUCACAUCCAUAUAUCUUUAACACCUCCAGGAUCUCAAGUGGGCCCAUGUCGCAAAAACUUGUCAACCCAUCGCACAAUCCUCCAUCCAGUACUUGAACAUUUUUCGGAAGUAGGGCACAGCCAUCCCCACUAAUCCCUCCAUCUACUCUUGCUGCGACACUGCCGCAACUAUCAAUUAUUAUAUGCCUCUUUUGAUCAUGCCAACGGUAAUCCUCUACUAAUACAUUCAACGCCAGACUACUGUUGGGAGCUGUCCUGCCCGAGAAGCCUCACGCAUGCAUCGAACGUUUCCACAUCUGGAACGCAGCAAUAGAGUGCUUCCAUCUUCUUUAAUUUUGCCUCUUCCCCUGCCCCCAUCUCUUGAAUCGCAAGAUAUUGUAGGUUCCCCAGCUUCCCUAGCACUCCUUCUGGUAACAUCUCAAUCUUUGUGCCAUCUAGGUCGAGGUACGUUAGCUCUACCAGCAUCUCCAAACCCUCUGGCAUUUUUUCAACACCUGCACAUCCUUUGAGGUCCAACUUUCUUAGGGAUCCCAACUUUCCUAAAUAAGAAAUACGACAUAAUGCUGUACACCAUUGCAGUAACAGUGCUUCCAAGCUCUCCAAGUAACAGAUGGGGUCCGGUAAUUCAAUGAUUCUAGUGUUUCUGAGAUCAAGUACCUUCAGCCCAUUUAGAUGCCUGAAGAAAGAUUUAUGGAUGAAUUCAAACUUGACAUUGCCACCCAACAAGAGCCUUGUAAGUUUAGGGCAAUUUGGUGAUAUACUGUACGGGAUUUGUUCCAUUUUGUUGCCUUGUAGAAAUACUUUUUCCAAAUGAACAGUCCAGUAAUCUUCCUGUGGAAUAUCUUUCAAUCCCCAGCAGGCCUUGUUCAUGUGAGUUAUGCUCGUCACUGUUUGCAAUGUCAUAUCUCUUAUCAGGGGGUGCACAGGCACCUCUUCUUCUAGAUUAUCCCAUAGACAAGCCUUUCUGAUUUUACCUAAUAUGGUGUUACAUUGGUCGUAUAGUUCUUGCCGAGUGGCAAUUCCACCUAACAAGCCCUCAUCUAUGAAAGACUCUGUCAAAUCCUCCCUAUGAGCUUAAGAAAUAUCUUUUGCAAAACAAAGUAUCAAAUGCAGGAAACAUUGUUGCACUUGAGGAUUACCCAAGUUCAUGUAAUUGAGUUUCAGUUUCUUGAACGCGUCAAGUUCCAUCCUCGAGUUUUCUAAUCUCUACAACAGGUCUUUCCAUUUGUGCACUUCCUCCACUCCCCUCAUAGGAGUCGCAAUCUCAAUGAUCCCAAGUGGCAAACCCCCACACUUAUCCAUAAUAGACCUUGCAAUUUUUUCAACUUCUGAUGGAAGUUUCUCAAAGUGAAGUUUCUCCGAAAGUAAGCUCCAAUAAUCAUGCUCAUUUAGUCAUUCUAUUUUCAUUUGUUUUUGGCAUUGCAUCUUAUGACACACAUCAAGAGAUCGAGUUGUCAGUACCAAUGUGACAGCCCAGGCGGCGGUGCACAGGAAGGAUGGAUGGUGGUGCGUCUGGGCCUCGGUCCCCGGACGUGCGCAGGGAGGGGGCGCGUCUCCUAUCCCACAUCGCUUAGGGGGGAGAGUCACGGUUUAGUUUAUAAGGCUUGGUUUUCUAACCUGUGUAAUGCAUUUUAAAGCCGUGAGGGCCAAAGACUCAAAGCGGAUAAUAUUACACACUGGGAGGCCCGGGUCCUUAUAUAUGGUAUCAGAGCCAACUUCGGAUCGCGUGUGGGGCCGUAGUGAGGGUCCCUUCCCAAGGGUAGGAGGGAUGGCGGUACGUCCGCGCCCUCGGUCCCCGGACGUGCGCAGAGAGGGGGUGCGUCUCCUAGGCUAGUUUAUAAGACUUGGGUUCUAUCCGGGUCCUUACAACCAACUUAAGGCCAUUCUUUUCAACUGGAAUUCCAAAGUGUGCAGAGAGGGGGUGUGUCUCUUAAGCUAGUUUAUAAGACUUGGGUUCUGUCCGGGUCCUUACAACCAACUUAAGGCCAUUCUUUUCAACUGAAAUUCCGAAAUCCUCAACUUCGAAGUGCAUCCAUAGGCCAUCUAAAUAUUAUUGAACUUAGGAUUCUCAAGCAGCAUUCUAUUAUGGACAUAAGUUUAAACGGCUGCUUGCCAACUCAUCCCAUUCCAUAAACGCCAAUAAUGAAAAUCUCAUCUUCCGUCAAAUAGUCACAGAUCUUUUUAAUUAAUUCUCACUUUCAUUGCCUAUUAGCUUUGAUAUUACCAGGGGUGAGCUUUUCCUGUAUCCUGCAGCACAUGUCGUCGACCCUCUUUGGAAGCUAUUGUGAGCUAGAAUGUCUUCAACUUCUUUACUUAGGUCAUCUAGUCGCUCCACUUGCUGCGGAGAAAGAGACCUACCUUCUCCGAAUGAUUGCACCACGCUCCAUUGUUCCCCUUUUAUCCUUUUCGCUUUCCUGCACCACGUCUCCAACUCAUCCAUGUCAGCUUCUGUGCUGCUUAGUUCUUCCAGCUUUAGUUUCAGAGUUGACAUAUUCUCACCGACAAGCCCACGGGUACCUGGUUAGUUAUCCAUGAGUGCAUCAUCAAUCCUCGUAUCUAAUAUCCACGAGUGCAUCAUAAAGCUAAAUGAAAAUUUAUGAAAAGAAGAACUAAGCAAUUAUGUCGACGUGAAAAUUUAAUAAAGGAUUAAGGGUGUAAAUAAAGGAUCGAGGAUUUUUCCCCGAGGUGGUUUGUACGAGCACUUGCCUUGUUGUUGGGGGCAUGGUCUCUUAAUGGGUUGAUCAGUCUGCAUGUCUGAGGGAUAUUGGGUUUAAAUUCUACUAUGGGUUUUGGGUCUGUUGGGUUUUAUUACUUGAGGUUUGGGUUGAACCUUUCGGCUCUUUAGGUUUCUAUGAGAUGGGUUGAACUGACAAUUGGGUCCAGAUGGGAAGUGACUCUCCUUACACUUUACAUUAAUAUAUAAUAUGAAAAUUAAAAUAUGUAUUUUAGCAUAAAUUACUCAUUAAAUUGUAUCAUAUUUAUAUGAAUCUUCCUCUUUCGAACAAAAUAAAGGUGGAAUUCCUAGUUCCUAUUAUCUCUUAAUAAAUAGUAUGAGGAUGCAAUCAUAAUUAAAAAAAUCCAUAAAGGCUGCUGACAACUGCAAUACUAUAAUAUUGAGAGAAAAUAAUAAAUAUUUAACAAAGAAAUAAACAUAUAGUUUAUAGGAAGAGUUACAACACAUGUUAGAAUUUUAGAUAAUUGUUAUGUAACAUUAAAACUCAUUAAAACUCACGAUCUUUUAUUGGACAAAAUUCACGGGAUUGAACGAGGCAAGUACAAAUCCUAAUUGAAAGCAAAAUAAGUAGUGAGUGCACAAACUUAUUAUUAUGUACUUGUUUAGAUACUGGCUUUCAUGUACCUAUUAUUUUAAAAAUUUUGAGCAUUACAACAUUAGACAAAUUCAAAUCAACCCCAUAAGCUAAGAGUAGAACUUAUAAAGUAAAAGCCACUGUAACGACCCUAAAUUGUAUCUUGAGAUUAAAAUUGAAAAGAUAAGAUACAUAUGAUUUCCACAUCUAAUCCACAAUGACCAGCGCCAUGACUUGUCCUAUUAAAAAAGCGCUAUACUUGCUUUCAAAUUGAUCUUUGAUUGGUGGGUGACCCAUUCAAAUGACGAUAACUAAUCGCCCGAAGAAAAUCUUUCGUCCUGCUAUCGUAUUUUCGGUAGUGUCCCAACAAAUGCACUUGCUACUAGGCAGAACCUCAACAAGCUCCCAUAAUGGAUCCAUCGCUCUCGGCAUUUCCUCUGUAUCCCACAGAAGAAUAAACAGACAUAAUUCAAGUGACUGGGUACCAACAAGGAAAUACUUUUUGUUGUUUUCAAUGUUUUCUUCUCUUUUGGAAGGCAGUUUUCUGUCUUGUUCACUGCUCAUGCUCGUGUAGUCUAUUUCUUGGAUAAUUUCUCAGUUGCCAUGGCCUUGUUGCGCUGAAUAUGGCAGUUUGUCGCAGCCAAGCGCUGGUCUUGUGAUUGCCAAUUAAAGAUUGCAAGGAGUGCAACCUCACUUGCAAAUCUACACUCAUCGAGCUCAAAAUCUCGCCCUUGACUCCGCUUACUGCAAAAGUUCCAUUUACUCGAGUUCUUUUAAUGUCAAUUAAUUCUAAGGUUGCAUGGUAAACUAUCCGAUUUACAUGAGUGGAGAUUGCGAUGUGAUGCAGACUAGAUUAUAUAGCAUCUCUGACCAAGCGCUGGACUGACCGCUCAGCAAUUUAUGAAAGUUAUUUUGACACAGCAAAAAAAGUCCUCGCUCUUUGCUCACCGGAAACGUUGAUUAUCUUAAGUAAUUAAGAGCGCAUUCUGGAAAUAAACUCCAGAACAGUUGUUUCCGAAAAAGACCAGACAAAAUUUUGGUAAGACCUGGUCACCGCAACUCUUUCUGUUUAAUCUGUUGUUAGUUGAAGUGCCAAAAAAGAGCUUGAGAGAUCGCUAAAACGAUAUUUACAAGUGGGUAUGAUAUGAAACGUACCAGAAGAAGAACCAAAGCUGCUCUUGAAAUUCUAAGGCACAGAUCGUCAUUACCAUCCAAGAUUCCGACAAAGAGUUGGGUUUGUCUGCACCAGUGCAAUUUUAAGAGGAGCAAAGGCAAAGGUUGUCGUAGUCAAACCAAAAUAGGUUCCCUGGGGAACAAACGAUGGGCGUCUGGCCUGGAAAAAGUCAAAAAAAAAAAAAAAAAAAAGGCUUGCUGAAUGCGUAUGAGAAAACAGAGAAAAGAGACUUGGCCAUGGUCAAAGUCUUCAACCACGCUUCAGCCCCUAGAAGGUAAAUAAUAAUAAUCUUCAGUUCUGCAUUACUCAAGUCGACAACAAUUUUUGGGGUGGCCUUUUACUCUGGAUGCGAUUUGGAAAGGAAUACAGCAAAUGGAUAUGAACUCCCCGUUUCCUCGUUUCCAUUCAUUAUUAUAUCAUCCUUCCUAUUUGUAUGUUUAUGAUCAAUCGCACAUCAUUGCAUUCUCAACUAAAUUCUGUGCAGAUAAUUAAGACAACUUGAAAUCUCGGUUGUAGCAUGAGCCUUUAGAUUCUGCUACUUGUAUGGUGAAUUCGGGAGCUGCACGAACCUUUUGGGAACGUCCUAAUUGGUUCCAUUCUCUUCAUCAUUUUGGUGGAUGUGCAAUGUCAACCAAAGCUUCUGGUACCACAUUCUAGAUGGAAGCUGGGAACGAUGGAAUUCUGCUGUCGACGGAAUGAGAAACUCCGCUCUGUCCAAUUUUGUUCUGAUGAGGGAGAGAUUGGAACGCCACCCAGCAACUGAGGAUCAGAUGAAUUCAACUCAUCUAAUAUAAGAUAAGACGAUGCAGUUGCACCCACGGCGAAUGAAGGUUCUUUGGAGCUGUCUUUCUUGCUCAUGGAUCGAUGCUAAAUUGGUGGAAUGUUGGAAUUCAAUAACUGAAUGUAGGAUCAGCCUUCGACUUUCCCUUCCAUUCUAUCCUCAACUCCUUACGCUCAAUUGCUUUGGGGACUUCCCCGCGCACUCGCCUAUGGACAUCCCUGCACUCAUUAAUCCAAUAUCCAGGAAUUUCUCUGCUAACUGCCCUUGAUCCUUGUCACCACUUCGCCGCCACCCUACUCCCUCCCGCAGAAGUUACGCUUCCACUUUCGUUUUCGAGUCGAACUCCAGCAAAACAAUUUCGCAUAGUGGAUUUAGGAACAAAUGACUAUCUUUCUGCCUUCCUCAGUUUUCAAAAGUAGACAGUAUCAUAGGAUUCCACUCGUUUGCUUGGUGGGUGGGUUCCUUUUGUCCCUCAAAUCCGACAUCAAUGACAGGGCAACCAACACAGCAAACUCCUCAAUGUGAACAAAACCCUGCACUCCAAACCCUCUCUCUCUCUCUCUCUCUCUCUCUCUCUCUCUCUCUCUGUGGCCUGAGAGCUUUUCUCUCCCUUUCAUGGGAGCUUUCUUCUCCCGAUCUCGAUCUGGGAGUUUAUUUGCAUCCCGUAUAUUAUUUCUUUCUUUCUUGGCGUGCUGCGGAUGCUCCUCCAUUGAAGGUGGCCGAUUCGACGAAUGAGUGAGAUCCCCCACGUUUUAGAGUUUUCCCCCGCUCACCCUACAAGGAAAACCAAACCCUCUCCUUAAAGACCAGUUACCUGGACCCAUACCAGAUCCCACGCCACGAAUUCCUCCAUCUUUAAAAGGUUUGGGAUCUAACCCUCCUUCCGACAACCGAUUUGAGACGUCCACCUACUUUCUCCGUAUCUUGCUGAGAUAUGUGGAAGAGUGUGCACGCCAGGUGUUUGGUUGAUUUUCUAGUACAAAGGUAAUUUCAUAGAUCAGCGGUUGGCUCUCUAUUCAGAUACAUAUGGUUUGAUUUCUUGGAGUGCUGUUGGAGAGCUGUGGUUCGUUCGUUGGCGGUGACAGAUGGUUUUUGUUUUUUGGGUCUGAUAGAUAUCUGAGGAGUGACUACCUUUUUAUGUUAAGCGGAAAUAUGGAGGCGGGCCAAAUUAUGCCCCUAUUGUUGCCAUAUAUAUUAUAGCUUGGAAUGAUAGUUGAAGGCCACAUGCCGAUCUUGUGACCUAGAUAUUGUGUUUCUGUCAAAGAUAAAAUGUGAUAUUAGACGGAUAAAGACUCGUAAAAGGAUUGGAUUUAGUUAGUCAUUCUUGAUUCCCACAGAAAAUAUUGCAGGAGGAUUAGUAGUCAUGUGAAAAUAUCUUGUAGUUUUAUCAUUUUUUUUUUUGCAGAUAAAAACUGAAUUAAUAUUGAGGUUUCUAACAUAGAAAAUCCGAAAUAGUUGUGAUGGCUUUCAUUGUUGUACUCACCUCUUUAUUGUGGUCUUAAACGAGUGGCUUGGGAAGAGUUUAAUGAGACUAUUUAUUGUCCUCAGGCAUCCUAUUAAAGGGGCUUGAGCCCAUCUCGUCACUCUUUAGUGGACUUUAUAGGUCUAGUGGGGCGUGUUGAUCUUAGCUUCAGAGGCAAACCUUAUAAUUGGACAAAUGGCCUAGAGGGCUUUGCAAGCAUUCGGAACAGAAUGGCAAUUUGUUCGACACCGUAGUGUAAGAAAUUCCUUAAUUGGGGGUUGUCCACUUGCCGGUGGUAAACAUGGAUCGCCCUCCUAUUUUACUGAAGUCAACUUCUCCUGAGGAUAAUUCGAGACAAUUUUUUAAAUUUGAAGCCGUAUAGCUGCGGGACUCAACUAAUGUUAACGAAGUGGAAAAGGCUUGGAACAACGAUACGGUAAAUAAUUCAAUGACCUCAUGGCAUAGGAAGCUAAAAUCGAGAGAACUCUCAAAAGGUGGAAUAAGGAACAUUUUUGAUAUUUGCCAACGGUGCCUUAAGGAAUUGAUGGUGUCGCUUGAUUCCAUUCAAAAGGAUGAGCCUUCGUAAGAGGAGCAGGAGGACAAAAAGAAAUCAAGGCGGCUACUAAUGAGCAAUGGGAGAGACUACGUUUUAAAUGGCCAAAGUUCUUUAUUUCUUUGAUCUAGUUUGUUCCAGACGAUGUAUAUUCUUCCAUUAAGUUGGACAACCGCCGAUGGGCGAGACUUGCCUGGAUUUGGACCCCCAUAAGUCGGGAUCGUUUCCAUUGUGGAUUAUGGGAGGCUCACUUAAUCGACAAUUCAAAUGGCAUCCGUUCUAUUGGUCGAGACACAGGCGAAACUUUUCCCUUUGAGCAUAGUCCCAGUAAAGACCUCAAGCUUCUUGAUGUGGCAGCCAUUUGUCCCCGUCCGCCAAAUGAAAAUUUUCGCAAACCAUCCGGCUGGCCACGCUAUGUUUCUGAUUUUGGCAAUCCAUACUCUUUUAAGUGGAUCUCCAUAUAUUUAUGUAUUUAAGUCUGACAGAUCUUUCAAUGAGAGCUUGUAUGGUUUUUCUGAAGGGUCGAUCCUUCAAUCAUAAUGCAACCGUAAUCACACUUUUUAUGGUAAUUCUUAUAUGAAGUGUCAUAAAACUUGACAUUUUCAAUCAACGGCUGAGUCCUUUUCUUUUAAAGUUCGACAAAAGAAAAGUACUGAAAAAGUCAUAAACUUAUCGUGUUGAUACCAAUUUUGCAUUAAACAAUGUAAUCCUAAACUUUUUCAUAUUAGUACCAAUUUCAUCCAUCCGGCCAAUUUAGAUUAAAAAUGGCUAACAUGGAUACCAGCCAUUUUACGUGUCAUGGUCGAUGAUGACGUGGGCAAAUUUUAUUAAUAUUUGUGAAUUUUUAAAUAAUUUUUUGAUUUCUUUACGGUGGCCACCGAUAAAAAGUAAGAAAGAAAAGAAGAGGGAAAUAAGAAAAAAUUCACAAAAAUCAAUAAAAAAAUUAUUAAAAUUUAUCCACAUUAGUGUCGACUAUGCCAUAUAGGACGGUCAAUUUUCACAUCAUCGAUUUCCAACUUAAAUUGACCGGGUGGAUCGAAUUAAUAGUAAUAUGAAAACGUUUAUGACUAAAUUAUCUAAUUAAAAAUUUAGAAUUGAAUUAGUAUAAAUGUAAUAGAUUUAAGACUUUUUUAAUACUUUUCCCAUUUGACAGACACCACCUUUGUGAGAAAUGGUGUGUCGACGGAUUAUACAGGAUUAUACAAUUCCCAUUCGUUUAUUUUUUACCCUUUUAUGAGAUAGCAAAAUAAAUCUAUGAAUCGGAAGGGCAGGUCCAGCUUGGCCCAAUAAAGAUUGGGCUAGGCUGUCCAGUUUAUGAAAUCUUACUCAUGUGAGAGCCCAUUCUUAUCCAUGUCGCCGAAUGCUCUCCCCUCUUUUUUUUUUUUUUUUUUUUUUUUUUUUUUUUCAGGUAGAAUUUGCCUAUUUUAUUUAUUUUUGCCAAACUUUUCUUUCUUGGUCAUACUAUUUUUGCCAAACUUGUCAUCUUUGAAACGUGCUAGGGAUUUUACAACAUUUUAACUCGCUCUGUCCUCGCCCAAUGACCACGAAUUCAAGCUUCAACCUUAUUAAUGGAGUAGCUUAGAAGUGCCAACAGUUAGAGCGCAUGAACAUAACUUGUUCCACUUUAAUAUCCUAAAAAAGUCUUCCGUCCGAGGUCGACAAAUGCGUGCAAUCGCUCGAUGCUUCCUCUGGCUCCUGACUGUGACCAAUCUGUCGGAUGUGUUCUUCCACUUGAAUUCUAUCAUGUAUUUCUUAGUCAAUGACUGAAAACAGGAACAAAGAUAAGAUAAUGUAGUUUAAUGGAAUUUGACUGCAUGCGCUUUUGCAGAUCUCUUUUCUUUGGUGACGUGAUGAAGUUUCUAGCUGCAUAUGAACAACUUUGUCAACAUGGUCGAAAUUCGGUCCAAGACCGGAACUUCCCUGGUUGAGCUUCAUGCUAGAAUAAUGACCCUAGAAAGAUGGAAAGAUGGAAACCAUUAGUCUCAAAGUUGAGAAUUUUUAUAUUGGAUCUUGUUGAUGGGUGCGUUUCCGACACUAAUUUAUGGUUCGAAAACUUCGGAAAAUCAAUAUGCAGUGAUCUGACAUGUUGCAAAGCAUUUAAGCGAAGACCUUAAAAGUAACUAGUGUUAACGUUUUCUCUGGAUGGCAAGAUGGUUUCAACAGACUGAAUUCCAUCCAUCACCAGGCUUCGGAUUCUCUGUCCAGCUCAGAUGAGAUGAGCACUGAAGACUGGUGUCACGGUAUUGAUUGAUGCUAUGGACUUCGAAGGGUCGAUAUAGUUGCCUCUACAAUAGAUGAGAUAAGGGGAAAUCCGUUUUUUACUAGUCAAAGAAAUGAACUUUGGUCAACGUAUCAUUGUCAGAUGAACAUCUUACCCGUGAUCCUCCCUCUUAUUUCCGCUAUCGUAAGUCAAAUUCUGACGUUUAAAGUUGAAAACACAUACUUUAGUCCCCAUUGAACAACCAUUCACCAAGUCCACGCUUCUCAUAUUUUUCGCCUUAAACUUCGUUAAUUACGACAAAUGGCAGUCUCUUUAUCCCUCCAGAAACAAAGCUCAAACCUUGAACACCCGCAGGAUGGAUAGCUUGUGUCUUUGGCUUGUGACAGGAAGUUAGGUUCUGCUCUUCUCAGGCUUCACGGUGGCAGUUGACACCAUUGAUGCAUCUCAAUCGUUAAGCGACAGGGAGACAAUAGCUUCGAGUGGGGGAACUUUUGAACUGGGAUUUUUCAGUCCAGGCAGUUCAAGGGGCCGUCACGUGGGAAUUUGGUAGAAGAACAUCCCAGUUAGAACUGUUGUUUGGGUUGCAAAUAGAAGCAAUCCAAUCAAUGACUGUAGUGGCAUGUUGAUGAUAUAACACAGAUGAUAUAGUCCUACGCCACAACAACAGUGUCGUUUGGUCCGUGAACACUGCUGGAUGGGCCGAGAAUCCAGUUUUACAGCUCUUAGAUUAUGGAAAUCUUGUGCUGAGAGAUGACAAGAAUGACAGUUUGGAUACCCAUUUGUGGCAAAGCUUGGACUACCCAACCGACACUUUUUUGCCGGAAAUGAAGCUUGGAUGUGACUUAAAGACCAGUCUCGAUUGGCAGUUAUCUUCCUGGAAGAGCCCAGAUGACCUGUCACCGGGAGAUUUCACUUGGGGGAUGGCCAACAGUAAUUUCCCUGACGUUGUAAAAUGGAAGGGCUCCGACACGUACUUUAGGAGCGGACCAUGGAAUGGCCUUCGUUUCAGCAGCACACUGCAGCAAGGGUCCAAUUCCAUUUUCUGGUAUAAUUUUGUAUCUGAUGGAUACGAAAUUUACUAUAUGUAUCAUGUCACCAACAAAUCUGUGCUUGUGAGGAGCAUCUUUGAUCAAACGAACUACUUGUGGGAGCGGUCCACAGGGAGCAAAGCGACUCAAAGCUGGAGGCUCUUCCUAACAGUUCCUAACAGUUCUGAAGGACUGCUGCGACACCUAUGGCAUUUGCAGUACCCACAGCAAAUGCAUGACUAACCAGCUGCCAUAUUGCCAAUGCUUAAAAGGAUUCACACCUAAAAACCCGGAUGAAUGGAACUCCACUGAUUGGUUGCAAGGAUGUGUUUGGAACGAGCCUCUGAACUGCAGCACCAGCGAUGGAUUCAUGAAAUAUUCUAACAUGAAAUUGCCGGAUACUACUCAUUGUUUAGUGGAUAGUAUCUUGAGCCUCGAAGAUUGCAGGACCAAAUGCUUGAACAACUGUUCAUGUGCAGCAUAUGCAAACUCAGAUAUCAGAGGACGAGGAAGCAGAUGUGCAAUGUGGUUCGGUGAUCUGAUAGGUAUGAGACAGUAUCCAGAUGAUGGACAGUUUCUGUAUGUGCGAAUGCCAGCUUCUGAAAUAGGUACUAUCUUGUUUUGGCAUCUCUGAAAAAGGUAGGUCUUGCACUAGAUUUCCUUUUCACCUAUCAUUCUUUUUCCUUUCAAAUGUGAGCACAAACCUUUCCAUAGUUACCCAUUAUAUCUGGCAUUUAUAUGUUUUUAAUGCUGACUUUUCAAUUGAGCAGGGAAGAGUAAGUCCAAGGUGUGGAUAGCUCUGGUAGUUGUAUUAGCAAUUGCCAUAGCUAUUGCCAUGCUAGUCGCCAUCUGUUACGCCCGCAGAAGAAGGAAAAACUUCGGCAGUACAUAUUUCCUUUCAUGACUUUCCUCACAAUACUAUGUUUUCAUGCAAAAGAGAAUAUUUGUGGUCUAAGAAAAGAGAGAGAAUAUCGAAAAUUAUUACUCUUGAUUUGAUAACUGAAAAUUUGGCAUAGUCAGAGAGUUGCAUAGUCAGAAAAUUAUUAGAAGUGGGACUUACUACACAUGCUUCCCUGCCUUCUUUUUGCUUGAGCUAAGUACCUCCGAUUUUCCACAUCAGAGAUAGCAGAAGAUAUAUCUGAAGGUCAAGAGAGUAAACACCCUGAUGAUGACUUGGAGCUCCCAUUAUUCGACCUACACUCAAUUGUUGAGUCCACAAAUAAUUUUUCGAUGAGGAACAACCUAGGUGAAGGCGGUUUUGGACCUGCAAGAUAAAACAAAAUUUGGAGUGGACUAUCCGAAACAUAGCACAAAGAUCCGGCCAUCAGAAUUGAAUCUUCCCAUUGUUGUUUUUAUCCAGGGUAUACUUUUAGAUGGAGAGAAAUCGCUGGGAAGAGACUCUCAAGGAGCUCUAGGCAAGGACUGAGGGAGUUCAAGAAUGAGGUCCUACUAAUUGCAAAUCUUCAGCACCGAAAUCUUGUAAAGCUUCUUGGUUGUUGCAUUCAGGGAGACGAAAAGAUGCUGAUCUACGAAUUCAUGCCCAACAAAAGCUUGGAUGCCUUUAUUUUUGGUAACCUAGUUGAUGUAUUUCUAGUUAAUUUUAAAAUGUAGCCAUUGCCUGUAAAGAAAAAAAUAUCACGAGACAUGGGACUGACUUGACUAAAACCUGACGGAUAAAGAGAAAAGUAAGUUAUUGGAUUGGCACAAGCGGUUCAAUGUCCUCUGCGGUGUUGCUAGGGGCCUACUCUAUCUCCAUCAGGUUGAGGAUAAUCCACCAGGACCUCAAAGCGAGUAAUGUCCUACUUGACAACGAGAUGAAUCCAAAAAUUUCAGAUUUGGGAGGCUAGGAUAUUUGGAGGGGAUGAGAUGGAAGGAAAUACCAACAGAGUGGUUGGGACAUAGUAAGUAUCUUACAGUUAUCUUACAGUAUGGUCUGCAUAGAGUGAAAAAGGGUGGUUCUGAUUCCAUUUUAAUGCAUGUUGUAAUAUUUUCUUUUGUUCUUCAGUGACUACAUGGCACCUGAAUAUGCUAUUGAUGGGCUAUUUUCAGCAAAAUCGGAUGUGUUUAGCUUCGGUAUUUUGGUCCUCAAAACUGUGUUUGGAAAAAGGAACAGGGGAUUAUAUCAUUCGAAUCAGUCUAGUCGGCCAUGUGAGUAAUUUGUUUUAUAUAAUUUUUUGUAAUCUUAAGUAGCUUUAUGGUCCAAUGAAGUUCGUGCAAUUUUUCAUUUUGUAGGCAUGGAAGUUGUCCGAAGCUGGCAAGUCUUCCGAACUGAUCGAUUCAUGCUUGGUGGACAACAUCCAAUAUAUCUCAAGUGUUACGAUGUGUUCAUAUUGGUCUCCUAUGUCUGCAAGAACAUCCUGAGGAUAGGCCUAGCAUGUCGUCGAUUGUGACAAUGUUGAGCAGUGACAACGCAUUGGCUGUGCCUCAACAACCAGGUUUCCUCGUGGAGAGUAAUCCGCACAGAGGAAAUUCCUCGUCUAGCGUUGGACUCGUCUAUAGUCAAUGAAAUGACUUUUACACUUCUAGAGGCCCGAUGAGAAGACAGGAACUUGCCACAGUUUUGCAUUAUUCUGUACUUGUUUAGUUCAUUAAUAUACAUCAUGGAUUUUUAGAAUUCAUGUUAUCAGUUGAGCCUGUGUAGCUGUAAAUGGUUUGUUAGCAUUGAAUGUCUUAAUAAUCUGUCUUCAUCUCAUGAGCAUAUCUCUAAUCGGCUCGUAUUGUGUUCCCUAGCUGAAACAGACCUCAUUUACAUUGACCUCCUGAUUGUUAACAUCUUGGUGGAGACCCUGGUGAUAGACUCGCCAAUCUCAGAAGCUAAUCUCAGAUCUUCAGGUCGUGGUUGGUACAAAGUAGCUAAAACUCAAACUGAUUAUUCCUUAUUAAGUCUCAAAAGGGGAUAAGAACGCUUCAAGUGCCAAAAGUUGGCACAAAGGGACACUUAAGUGCCAAAAGUUAUGAAAGUGACACUUAAGUGCCACUUUGUAAGAAAAGUGGGACACCUGAGUGCCACCUCCGACGAAGGCAGCCGGAAAUCAUACGUGGCAAUUAAAUAAGAUUAUUUCUCGUCGAGGUGGCUCGCCGGAGAGCUGAGUCAGCUCUAAUUCACCAAAAACGACGUCGUCUCCUCAGGUUGGCCAAAAUGGAGCCCUUAAAUCAACCAAAACGACAUCGUCUCCCCCAUUGCCCCAAAUCUAAAACCCUAAAUCCAGCAAAUUGCCAUUGAAGCGUUGGAGCCCUAAUCCCGAACCCUAACUCGAUUUGCCCCAAAUUCUACGGUUGGAUAUUAAGAAUGGAGAGCAGGACUUUCAGCAGCGACUCAAAUUUCUCUCGCCAAAGCGAAGGAGAAGGCGAGCGUUUCUGUUUUUGUGGGUUACCAAGUCCAAGAAGAACAUCGUGGACGCGAAGGAAUCCUGUGAGAAGAUUCUAUGGAUGUGCCCGAUACAGAGAAGGGUCGAAGUGCAAAUAUUUCGAAUGGGUUGAUGCGAAAUUCUCUCACCGAGCCACAGAGGUGAUAUUGGACCUACUUGAUGGAUGUCAUCAACCUCCAUCUACACCUGUGGACGAUUUGGACGAGGUUGACUCAAUGCAAGCUCAAGCAUCUUCUGCUAACCAUUUGAAGAAUGAAGUUUCAAAGAUGAAUAUUGAACGAAAGUGUUACCGAGCAUUUAUUGUGUUGCUGUUUUUUUGUCUAUCCUAUUUUAUGAUGAAAUGUAAAGUAUUGGAAAAUGAAAAAAAGUUUCUCCGACUGCCAUAGUUGUAAAUGAGGUCAAGGAAAGGGAAUGAAUGAAUGAAUGAGAUGCUGUUUGAAUGAAUGAGAUGCUAUUUGUACUAUAUUUUUGCUUAUUCUCGAAUAUAAAUCGGUGAUGAUGGAAUGUAUAUUGGGUGGAUGUGUUGUGGUGACUUCUUUUCUUCAACUGAAUGUAAACCAGUAGCAAUGAAUCGAAUGGAGUUGGCAUAAGUUGAACAUUCGUAUAUAUAAACCAGCAGCUUCUUUGGUUUGCUGCAAAUCAUCAUUUACAUAGGACAAACAUGAGUGAUUACUCGAGUGCUAUAAGUUGUAUAUAGUGAUCACUUAAGUGCCAGUCGUGAUUAAAAAAAAGUCAUUUAAGUGUCAAGUUAGUAUCAAAAGUGAUCACUUAAGUGCCAUUUGUGAUUAAAAGUGAACACUUAAGUGCCAUUUGUGAUUAAAAGUGAACACUUAAGUGCCGAGUUUUUUAGAAUGUGAUCAGUUAAGUGUCAAUUUUAUUUGUACGUUUCAUCUAUAAACUGCACCAGCCAUCAGCUGCUAUCAGCCACCACGACCGCCCACCACUGGCCACCAUCGGCCUCUAGCCAUCACCACCAGCCACAUCAAGCAUUCCAGGCAUCCACUUGAGCCAUUACUAUGCUGCUGGUAUUCUGCAGUGCAGAAGUUCCUAGUGCCUUACAUCAGCUUGCACCAACACUACCUGGAGCAAGAUGUGUGCAAGAUGUGCAUAUUGCACACUUACAUCUUGCACCAAGUGCAGCACAAACCCCCAACCCCCAACCCCUAUAAUAGACCCACCAGCCUAUCAGUAGGCAUCGGCACCAACAUCUUAGCUACCACACCAGCACGUAGCCACCACCAUAAACCCACCAUUAACAGCCACUGUUGGUGGUGGGUCGUGGGUUUGUUGCAAAAGGGGUUCAUGCAAACUAUACUAGUUACAGCAAAAGGCCCCAACCCAAUCCACAUAGCGGACCCACCACCAUCAAGUUUCACCAACCGCCACCACCAGCCACACAAGCACCCCAGUCACCACCACAGAUCCACCACCAGAAGCAGAAAGCAAUAAGUAAAAGUAAAAACAAAAUACAAAAAAUGAAAAAGGCACCAAAGAUGACAAGCAACAAAAUCAUUUCAUUGAUAUUGAAAUGAAGUCUCACAAAGUCGAUGACAAACUAUUUAAAAGAAAACAUCCACAGUAAAACAAUUGACUCGUCAGCCCCACAAACCAUAUCCCAUCCCAUUUCAUUAAUCAAUAUGCACAAUGCCUCCUGUUCGUGCUCCUUUCACUUGAUUCAUAAUCCUUGUGCUUUUUCUAACUGGACGUGAGGUUUCUUCUUCAACUGUCUCAGGAUGCGUUGAUUCUGAUGGAGGUGCAAUUGUCCUAGGCUGAGCUGAUUGAGAAGGAGCUGGAGCUGCAACUGUCGUAGGCCGAACUGAUUCAGAUGGACCUGUAACUAGGUUUUUCUUACUCUUCUUUCUUGUUGGCGCAACCAAUGUCUUCUUCUUUUUUGUUGGUGCAGCCGUUGAUUCUUGAGUUUGGCCUUGAGAGAUAAGAACCUCUGAACUUCUCCCAGGCUUCAAAAAGAAAACUCAAUUAUUAACAAAAUUUUGCACCAUAAAUUAAAUUAAAUACAGCCUAGUAAGCUUAUAAAACUUACAUUAAGAAUAACUGUUCCAGAACGCUCAUCUGUAUAAAGCCCAUAACCAUACUGUUUUAGCCUCUUUCCAAGAGCUCCUCUUGUUCGAAGGGGAACGUCAGUUUCAGGUACUUGUGAUUGAUUAGCCCUUCUUCUCGCAUGUGAUUUCUUGGGCUCUUAUUGUGGCUGUUUAGCUACAGCAGGGGCUUCUUCUGGGCAUUCGAAUGUUAGACGUCUUGUAGAUGGCCUUCUUGUAGGUGGCUCAUGAUUUGGCUUUCUUUUGGUUGUUUUUCUAUUUAGCCCUUCAGCUUCAAUGACACCUUCUGUUGGCUUUUGUGGUGGCCCUUGUGAUGACCCUUUUAGUGGCCUUUGUGGUGACCUUGGUGAUGGAUCUUGUGGUGACCUUUCAGUUGGGCCCUUUGUUGACAGCUGAGCUCUAGCUUGCCUUCUUCGAACCUGAGAAAAAGACAAAUGAUAUCAUAAAUAUAAACAUCAGGCCAUUGUAAAGGAAAACUAAACACAAAUUAUUUAAGUUACCGGGUAUUUUUUUCUCUGCUUCUGCUGAAGAACAGUCGACUUAACUGGCCCUCCAGUUGCUUCGGCCAAUCCUUGAGCUGGCUGUCUACCUGGCCUUGUUUGAACAGACCCUUCAGUUUCAGGUAUAGCAGGGGCUUCGACCAAUUAUUCACGUGUCAUUCUCCUGACCUGACAAAGACAAAAACAUUAUGUCAAUUAGUUGUACAUAUCNNNNNNNNNNNNNNNNNNNNNNNNNNNNNNNNNNNNNNNNNNNNNNNNNNNNNNNNNNNNNNNNNNNNNNNNNNNNNNNNNNNNNNNNNNNNNNNNNNNNNNNNNNNNNNNNNNNNNNNNNNNNNNNNNNNNNNNNNNNNNNNNNNNNNNNNNNNNNNNNNNNNNNNNNNNNNNNNNNNNNNNNNNNNNNNNNNNNNNNNNNNNNNNNNNNNNNNNNNNNNNNNNNNNNNNNNNNNNNNNNNNNNNNNNNNNNNNNNNNNNNNNNNNNNNNNNNNNUCGUUUUCGCUUUGGUCUUCCCAUUCUCUUCUUUAAUGGCAAAGGUUGAGGUGCUUCAUGAUCUGUUGGCUCCCAGAACUUGGCACCUCUGAUUGGCUGCAACAUGCAUUGGUACGAAGCAAGAUAUCUCGGUUUCUUGUACCAAUCAUCAAGGUAGUCUUCUGUGUUGUGGCCCUUCAAUUGAAUGGCACAUAUGGCAUGUGCACAAGGAAUUCCACUUACUUGCCAUGCUCCACAUGAACACUUCCUCGUACCUAAAUGGACAACAUACUUAUCAGAGCCCUUCAUUAUCUCAUAUCCUUCAUCCCCAUUCCAAAUGGGAUGACAAUACCUACUCGUAGCCAAGUUCUCAUCCAAUUUUUUAGCAAUCCUAGGACCACAUUGCCUAGUCCAGUUUGCAGCCUCAUCCCUUUGUUUGUGCAACCGAGUCAUAACCAUAACCCUUAUGUCUUCAAGCAUCAAGAUAAUUGGUUUGCAUCUGGCAUCUAUUAUUCUUCCAUUGAAUGAUUCGCAGAUGUUGUUAUUUAUGUUAUUGCACUUGAAUUCCUCACUGAAGAACGCCCUACACCAAUACUUUGGUUCUGUUUGGAAUAGUGCAUCAUAACAUUCCCUUGUCAAUUGAAGCAGUUCUUCUUUGGCCAUCCUAAAAUCAGCCAUAUUCGUGCUCUUUGCUAGCUGCCAAAAUUUGAACUGCAGCUUAUCCCCUUUAUAGUUCUUUCCCCAAUUUGCAUAUAUGUGCCGCGCACACAUUCGAUGCUCGGCAUAAGGCAACAACUCAGCUAUAGCUGGAACCAGUCCCUGCAAUAAUUCAAAAAAAGAAAAGAAAUGUAAGCAAACGACAUGUUCAUAUCAACAAGCAAACAAUUGACCAAAUCUUUCAAAGAGUACCUUCUGUUGGUCACUCAUGAACGCCCACCCUGCACCAUUUGUUAUCUCCAAAUCAGCCAUCAAAUUUUUUAGGAACCAGGACCAAUUGUCCUUGUUCUCUACCUUUACAACAGCCCAAGCCAGUGGAAACAUCUGGUUGUUUGCAUCUAUUCCAAUUGCAGCCAACAAUUCUCCCUUGCACAAGCCCUUCAAAAAACACCCGUCCAAUCCUAUAAUCCGUCUACAACCAGAUAAAAAUCCUCGUUUGCAUGCAUCGAAGCAAACAUAGAACUUAUCAAACUUGGUCCCAAUAUCAGGAAGUGGUUGAGAUAGCUAGUGUAAGCACCUAGAGGGGGGUGAAUAGGUGCACAAACAAUUUAUCGAGAUACGUAAGCGAUUCUUGGCAAAUGAUAGAAAUGAAGUUUACUAUGAUUAACGAAAAUGAAGUACGAUCAAAGUAAAGAGAGUAAGGAAGAGAAAAUUGAACACAUGGUUUAUAGUGGUUCGGCUUAUUCCAAGCCUACGUCCACUCUUCCGCACUGACAGCCCACCGGCUGGAUUUCACUAUGAUCAAAAGAGAAGUUACAGCACAGCUUUGCCUUGAUUCCACAGUGUAGAUGUUCUACCACACCUCCUCAAGGUUUCUCACAAAUAUAGACUCUCUUUUGUAUACAAGUAUUCGCUCAAAGUGAUUGUCUAAACAAAAAGGAGCUUCAGACUUUGGAAUUCUUCUAUCGCGCACACCUUGAACAACUAAGACCGUCUUCCUUAUAUACUCCUUUAUGCCAUCAUACCCGUUGGCACUUACCAAAGGAAUUCCUCUAAUCUACCCAUUGGACGGAAUCAAUUAGGAAGAUUGUUCGAGCUAUUAAAGGAACGUGUCGAUAGCCCAUUAAUCCUGUUCGCCCAUACAAUCAGGAUCUCGGUUUCCAUAAGUAGAACCUUCCAAGAAUAUUUAGGCAAUCAUCGAAUCUUCAAUCAUCGAAUCAAUCUCGAUCAAUCAAAGGAUUUUGUUACGUCUUUUCCAGCCACGAGAUCUUCUCCAGUUGAUAAGGUUAAAUCCUUGACGAAACAUCCAGUUCUGGAUAACCUUUCUUCAACGGAUUAGAGAUUGUCAAUGAGGAUAGACUUUGAGUCUUGAGUCUGGCUGUCCGGAGGUCUUCAGACUUUAAAUAGCAGAGUCUGCAAGCCUUCAGACUAGACUGAUGGAAACGUUUUGUCAGCUUCAAAACACUUCAAGAAGAUUUCUCCAACAAUCUCCCCCUUUUUGAUGGUGAUAAAACUUUCCUGCAGAUUUGGAUAACUUUGACCUGCAAAACAUUUAUCAAACACAUAUGCAUAUCUUAUAGAGAUAAAUGGCUAAAUGAAUAACAAUAGAAUCUGCAACCACAGAAAAUAGGUUAGCAGAAAAUAGGUUAGAUUAGUAUACGAUAAAGCCAUCCAUAAGAUAUCAAUAGUAGUUAAUAAAAGCAGUCAAGUCCAAGUCUAGUUCAGUUCUCAUCCAGACACAAAGUCAAAGUCAAACAAAACAAUCCAACAAACAGUCCACACGAUUAAAAGUUUAACGAUUGAAUGUUUGAAAGUUUGAUCAAAUCUUGCAUCUCUCCCCCUUUUUGUCAGCAUUAAAAAGGUUGAGAUGAAGUCAAGAUUGCUUGGGAAUGCGGACAAGCUGGAAAUCUUCCAUAGACUGAACGAUGCCUUCCAGCCUUUUCAAGUCUUCCUUCAGUUGUGCAAUCUCCUCACCCUUGGCAUUGGCCUGAAUCUGAACAGAGAGGGCUUGGAUCUUAUCAUUCAAUGAACAUGAAGAAACUUGACCCGCAUUCUGCAAGUUUUGAACCUCGCAUCCCAAGGCAUAAAUUUGACCUCGCAUCUCCAAGAGAAUAUCUAUGAUUCUGUGAAAAUCUGCUGUAUUAUCAAUCUGAGUACUUGCUUCGGCCCGAUCUGAUGGAGUAAAUGCAGAUGAUGGUAGAUCAGCAUAAUCUCGCAGGUUUGGCGAUGAAACUUCAUGACCUUCUUCUGGAAACUGAGAGGCAUAAACAUCUUCUGGGUUUGCAGGUGAGCGACUGACUCCUUCACUUGCAUCAGGAUAUGAAGACUUCCCUCCUUUCUCUUGAUCUCCCCCUGUUUUCAUGCCUACAGGUGGAGAAGAGAGUUCCUCAGGUUCUCCUUCUUCUCUUCUUUCUUCUUCAGGUCUUUCCUCCUCUGCUUCUUUUUCAGCUUCUCUUUCUUCUUCUUCCUUCUCCUCUGCAUCCUUCUCCUCUGCUUCUUUUGUCAUUUGUUCCGAUUCUUUCUGUGGAACAGGACGACUUAAAUUCUUCAAAGCCAUUGCAGAGAUGGUGAUGUCUUCCUCAUCAUCUUCAUCCUCAACGAGGAGAGCUCUUCUUCUCUUGGAUGGAGCAACCAUGGGCUCCUUCCCUUUUCUUUUAGCUGCAGAAGAGAUUUGAUGAGUUUUGGCAGGAGUCUUCUCCUUGAAUUUUUCCAACUCCUUUCUCAAUUCCUUCAGACGCAUUUUGGUCACCAUUUUCAGUCCUACCACCAUAUGAUCACAUGGUCGAACACAAAAGAUUUGCGGAGGCUGAAUAUUCAGAUGUCUGAAUAACUUCGUAACAAGGCUUGGGUAAGGGAGUUGACUUCUGUCCUUCAUCAUUGCUCUAUACAUGUGAAACAUAACAGUGUGAGGGAGAGAAAACUUUUUCCCAAAGAGGAUGGCAUACAUCAGCUUUGCCUCUGAACUUGAAACAUCAGUUUUGGAAGUUGAUUUCGGUCGGAGGCAAUUAAUCACAAUCUUGUGAAGUAAGAUAUUGAAUGCACUCAUCCUUAAGUAGGUGAUCUUCUCAUCUGUUCUCCUGUCCUUCACCAGUUCCAGUGUGGCUCGAGCAAUGGAAACUUUAAUUGGCUGAUAUCUUCCUCUUUCAACUCCUAACGCAUCUGCCAGCAUAUUCAUAUCCACAACAUAGUCUUGGUCUUUAACGCUGAAAGAGAAUCUAUUCGCAUCCAAAAAGUUAAGAUUUGAAUAGAAAUAUGCAGUUAAUCCAGCAUAGGCCUCGGUAGUGUCAGAGCAGAACUUUUCAAGUUGAAGAUAAUUGAACUUUUCCCUCAAGUUCACAUUCACAGCAUCCAGAAAAUCAAAAUCCACACUCCUAGGGUUUAUUACCCCACGCUUCAGCAAUUUCGAGUACAGAUCCUUUUGUUCCUUCGAUCUGAACAAAUCUCCCAUUUUUCCUUGAUUUUCAACCGCAAUACCCAUUUUCGGUUGAAAUAGGCUGUACAAAUUGUCAUCAUCAUUCCCAUCUACAGGAUUCGGCCCUCAGUCACGAGGAUCACUUGGGAUAUUCGCAAGGGUUUCCUCAGCCACCCCUUUACGAGCAAUUCCCAAACUUUCCAUUUUUCGCAGAAAGAUAUAUUUGUUAUUAUAUCCUUUGUCUUUAAGAAAAUCAUCAACAUAGUUCAAAGGAGUACGAGUUCCUUUUAAGGCACGAUAUAGCUUGUAAAUAUAAGCGGGCUUUUGAACUCUUACAGGGUCUGCAUCCUCGAUGAUUUCUUCCUGUUGUUGAUGAUCAACGGUUUGAGGACUAGAUGGAGGAGAAUGACGCUGCUGAGAAUGUUGUGGGCUCGGUUGCUGUUCUGGAGACACUUCUUCCUCAGUAAGAUCGAAGUGCGUAGGCCCCUCACUCAUUCGCCGUGGUCCCCUGCUUGCGAUUCUAGAAGACUUUCUUGAAGAUGACAUCUUUCUCAGUUUUUGGAAGAUUCCUUGCUUGACUUUCCCAAGAAAGAUGACAACUUUUUGAAGAUUAAACAAAGAAGACAAACGAGAAUGGAGGAUCGAUGCUUUCUAGGGUUUUUGAGAGUAAAGUGAAGAGGAAUCAACAGUGCACGAUCGGUUAAAAAGAGAGAUAAAUGAAUCGUCACAAAGGAAGGUAAAAAGAUGCCUUUUUGAAAUAACUGUCUUUUUCCGUGAAAAUAGUCAUUUUAAAAAUAACUUCUUUUUGGAAAAUGAAAUGAUGCAAUAAUUACGUCGAUUAAAGAUAGCAAUAAAACACGGUUACCAAUCGUACCUUUUCAAGAUAAGAUUCGAGAGAGAGAGAGAGAAAGACUAACUUACAGUCUGACGGUCGUACCAAGACUAACUUACAGUUAAAGUCUUGUAUGUCUGAGUCUGAAAGUCUUUAGACUUUGAUUUCCUCAUACCUCAAAAUGUUGAGUCUGGAACGGAUGGUUUCGAACUGAUUUUUCUCCAACGGCUUUGUGAAUAUAUCCGCCAGUUGGUUCUUUGAGUCAACAAAUUGAAUUGAAACAUCUCCAUUUUGAACAUGGUCUCUAAGUGAUGUCGAAUCUCUUUAUGCUUCGCUCUUGAGUGUAGAAUUGGAUUUUUGGUGAGAUUGAUAGCGCUGGUGUUGUCGCAAUUAAUCUCCGUGCAUGAGUCUUCAAUUCCAAAGUCUCUUAGCUGUUGUUUCAUCCACAGAAUUUGCGAACAACAACUUCCGAGAGCUACAUACUCUGCUUCUGCUGUAGAGAGAGCUACUGUGCUUUGCUUUCUUGAAAACCAAGACACUGUCCUGCCUCCAAAUAGUUGACAAGUACCCGAGGUGCUCUUUCUAUCGACUUUGCAUCCAGCAAGGUCUGCGUCUGAAUAUCCAAGAAGAGUAAAGUCUCCCCUUUUUGGAUACCAGAGACCAAAGCUUGAAGUUGAUGAGAUAUAUUUGAUAAUACGCUUUGCUGCAUUUAAAUGAGAUUCUUUUGGGUCUGAUUGAAAUCUGGCACAGAUGCAAACACUAAACAAAAUGUUAGGUCUAGAAGCAGUAAGAUAAAGAAGAGAUCCGAUGAUACUCCUGUACAGCUUUUGAUCAACUUUCUUCCCUUCUUCAUCUUAGUCUAUCUUCAAGGAACUUGACAUUGGUAUGUCAGCCUUUUUGCAAUUGUCCAGACCAAACUUUUUGAUAAGAUCAUUUGCAUACUUUUCUUGAUGAAUAAAAGUUCUUUCCUCCAAUUGUUUUAUUUGAAGUCCAAGAAAGAAGGUUAACUCACCCAUCAUGCUCAUUUCAAAUUCUUCCUGCAUAAUCUUAGAAAAUUUCUUGCACAGACUUUCAUUAGAGGAUCCAAAGAUAAUAUCAUCGACAUAUAUUUGAACAAGCAGAAAACUUUUGCUUUCGCUUUUAAUAAAAAGAGUAGUGUCCACUUUACCUUUAACAAAUCCAUUUUGAAUUAAAAACUUACUUAAUCUGUCAUACCAAGCUCGAGGUGCUUGCUUUAAGCCAUAUAAGGCCUUUUUGAGUCUGAAUAUUGAGUCUGGUUUCCUUGGGUCUUCAAACCCUGGUGGUUGUUCCACAUAGACUUCCUCAUGGAUGAAUCCAUUUAGGAAAGCACUUUUGACGUCCAUUUGAAAUAACCUGAAAUUUUUAUGACAAGCAAAUGCAAGUAAUAAACGAAUUGCUUCUAACCUUGCUACCGGUGCAUAAGUCUCGUCAUAGUCGAUCCCUUCUUCUUGUGUGUAUCAUUUGGCCACGAGUCUUACUUUGUUUCUUACGACUUUACCUUUCUCGUCCAUCUUGUUUCUGAAAACCCAUUUAGCUCCAAUAAUUGAUUUUCCUUUCGGUUUUGGAGUUAAUUCCUAGACAUCAUUAAUUUUGAAUUGUCUGAGUUCUUCUUGCAUAGCUUCAAUCCAGCUUUCAUCGGAUAAAGCUUCUUCUAUGCUCUUGGGUUCUAUUUUAGAAAUAAGAGCCACGGCACUAGACUCUUUUCGCAUUUUGGAUCUUGUGCGUAUUCCUUCAUUGAUGUCGCCAAUAAUAAGAUCUUUGGGAUGACUGGACUUAUGUUUCCAGUUGCUGAUUAAUUGAUGAUCACUUCCUUCACUUGAAUCUUCAACAGUUACUUGUUGCUGAUCCUUCAAAAUCUGAGCUGCUUCUUGAUAUUUAGACUUUGUUGAGUCUGGAGCAGAUUCAGUCUCUUCAAGAUGAGUCUGAAUGGAUUCAUUUUGAAUGGAAUCUUGGAAUUUGACAUUCAUUGAUUCUUCCACAGUUUGAGUCUUCUUGUUGUAGACUCUGUACGCUUUACUUGUAGUUGAAUAUCCAAGGAAGAUGCCUUCAUCUGACUUUUCUUCAAACUUACCAACUCGAUCAUUUGCAUUUUUCAAUAUGAAACAUUUGCAUCCGAAAACAUGAAAAUAUGAAACAAUUGGCUUCUUUUCUUUAAAUAGUUCAUAAGGGGUUUUUUCUAGAAUAGGCUUUAGAAAGACUCUAUUGAUAAUAUAACAUGAUGCUGAAACUGCUUCAGCCCAAAAUCGUAAAGAGAUAUUGCUUUCAUUUAAAAGAGUUCUAGCCAUUUCUUGAAGAGAUCUAUUCUUCCUUUCCACGACUCCGUUUUGCUCUGGAGUAUAUGGAGAGGAGAACAAAUGUUGAAAACCAGAUUCAUCACAAAAUUUUGCAAAGUCUUGAUUUUCAAAUUCACCUCCAUGGUCUGUUUUUAUACUUGAAAUGACAUACCCUUUUUCAUUUUGAACCUUCUUAGCAAAUUUUUCAAAGUAAGAGAAAGUUUCAGACUUACUUGCCAAGAAAUAUACCCAAGUAAAUCGUGAGUAGUCAUCCACAAUUACUAGGCAAUAUUUCUUACUUCCAAUGCUCUGCGUUCUUGUUGGUUCGAAGAGAUCCAUAUGCAAGAGCUGCAGUACACGGUUAGUGGAAACUUGAUUUAUUGGUUUAAAGGAAUUUCUUACCUGUUUUCCCAAUAUACAUGGUGUACAUAGAUCGGACUUUUGAUAUGAUAAAUUGGGUAGACCACGAACAAGCUUCUUUGCUGAGAUUUUGGCUAUUUGCUUCAUGUUGAUAUGCCCAAGCUUUUUGUGCCAUAAGUUCGCUUCGUCUUGGAUUGAGAUUAGACAUUGCGAUUCAUCUGGUUUCACGUCCAAGAGGUAGAUAUUCCCAUGUCUUCGACCCAUGAAUGACUGAGUAGAGUCUUUACUGGUUCCUGAACAAAUACCUUCUUGAAAGUUGAUUCUAAAACCGGCAUCACAAAGCUGACUGAUACUGAGCAGAUUGUAAUUGAGCCAUUCAACUAAAGAAACAUUGCUUAUUGUGAGGUUCCCAAUCUUUACAGUUCCAACUCCCACUAUUUUUCCUUUGCUGUUUCCUCCAAAUGAGACUUUUCCACCAUUCACUUGAAUGAGCUUUAUGAAGUAAUUUGAAUCUCCUAUCAUGUGUCUGAGCAUCCACUAUCCAGAUACCAUUUCACUUUUUUCUUGAUAGUGAUCUGCAUUCAAAAAGAAACUCAAGCUUUCUUUGGUACCCAUAUUUUCUUGGGUCCUUUUGAGUUAGUCUGAUAUACAGUUUUUGCCCAGACUUUAUUGACAGGUCUCCAAACCAUAGGACAUUCUUUCUCAAAAUGAUCUGCACUAUUGCAUUUUGAACAUCUAAGAGCAUUGCGAUCUACUGGUUUUACAAAGUUCAUUUCAAAAUGAUUUUUGUAAGCGUUUCUUGUGGGUCUUUGUUUGAUUCUUUCUUUUACUUUAGGAAAAUCGAUUAAAGGAAUGGUUUCAGCAGUCAUUCCCAAUCCAGAUUUAUUGAAAUAAGGUCUUUGAGCAGAAAGUAUUUUCUCCAGUUUUUCAGAACCUAAAGAAAAUCUUUUGGAAAUAUUUGAAAUAUCAUUUUUCAAGAAUGCAUUUUCUUUUAAAAGAUUAUUUUCACUUUCUUUGAGAGAAGAAACAUUCUGGUCUAAGCAUUUCACUUUUUCCUCCAAAGCAUUCUCUUGUUGUUUUAAAGCAGAAUUUUCUUUUUUGAGUUCGGAAAUUCUUUUAAGAGAAGUCUUAAGACUAAAACAUAAUUCAUCAAUGUAUUUUGAAACUUUAAUAGGGAUUUUAAAGUUACUUACCUCGAAUUCACUUUCUGAAUCUGAAUCAGUCUCGGAGUUUGAUUCUGAAUCCGAUUGUGCCAUUAGACAUAUGUUGGCAUAAUCAUCAUCACUAUCUUCGCACUCUGUAUCACUCCAGGUUUCAGCUUUGACAGCUUUUCGAUAUCUUUCAGUUUUUCCUUUCUUCUUCCUUAGAAGAGGACAGUUGGGUCUGAUGUGUCCCUUUUUCUUACAUUCAAAGCAGACUACAUCUUUGUUUGAUUCUUCAUCUUCAGCAGACUUGGUCUGUUGCUUUUGAAAACUUUGUUUCUUUGCAUUGAAUCUUCUUCCUUUUCUGUUCAGCUUUCUGAAUCUUCUUAUCAUAAGAGCAUGUUCUUCAUCAUCCACGUCGUCUUCAGAAUCUGUUACAUCAGAAUCAUCAUUAGAUUUUAAUGCAAUAGAUUUCUUACCUUUAGGGUCUUCGUCUUCAUUGAUUUGUUCCACUUCAUAGGAUUGAAGAGUCCCAACCAACUUAUCGACAGACAGUGGCAUGAUUCUUUGGGUCUCCCUGAUUGAGGUCUUUAUGUGAUUCCAAUCCUUGGAGAGUCCACGCAGUAACUUGUUUACUUUCAUGGGAUCAGAAAUUGGUUGGCCUUGAUUUUCAAGACCAUUCACGAUAUCUGUAAAAUGACUAAACAUGUCAGUUAUAGAUUCUCCUGGUUUCAUUCUGAAGGCUUCGUAUUGACCGAGAAGAAUGUUGAUUCUUGUCACUUUCACUCGAUCGGUUCCUUCAUAAGUAAUGUGUAAUCUAUCCCAGACUUCUUUGGCUGUAUCACAAGAAGAUAUUCUGUUAUAUUCAGUAGGUGAUAAAGCACAAUAUAAAGAAUAAAUUGCUUUUGCAUCAAGAGCUUGUCUCUUGAUUAUCUCUUCCUGAGUCAUUUCGCUAGACUCAACAGAGUCUUUUCCUCUUUCUGAGACAGGAGCAGCUUUGGGAACGAUUCAUUUUUCUACAACGUCCCAUUCCAGAGGAUCCUUUGAUCUUAAGAACGCCUUCAUCUUGUUUUUCCAUAUGUUGUAGUCCUUUCCAUCAAAAUAAGGUGGUCUGGUGUUGCUUUGCCUUCUACCAGCCCUGGAGCCAACAUACUAGCCAUGGAUCUUUAACUCUGAAGUAAAAUACUUCAAAAAAAGUGAGUACACGAGCUCUGAUACCAAUUGAGAUAGCUAGUAUAAGCACCUAGAGGGGGGUGAAUAGGUGCACAAACAAUUUAUCGAGAUANNNNNNNNNNNNNNNNNNNNNNNNNNNNNNNNNNNNNNNNNNNNNNNNNNNNNNNNNNNNNNNNNNNNNNNNNNNNNNNNNNNNNNNNNNNNNNNNNNNNNNNNNNNNNNNNNNNNNNNNNNNNNNNNNNNNNNNNNNNNNNNNNNNNNNNNNNNNNNNNNNNNNNNNNNNNNNNNNNNNNNNNNNNNNNNNNNNNNNNNNNNNNNNNNNNNNNNNNNNNNNNNNNNNNNNNNNNNNNNNNNNNNNNNNNNGGUUUCUCACAAAUAUACUCUCUUUUGUAUACAAGUAUUCGCUCAAAGUGAUUAUCUAAACAAAAAGGAGAUUCAGACUUUGGAAUUCUUCUAUCGCGCACACCUUGAACAACUAAGACUGUCUUCCUUAUAUACUCCUUUAUGCCAUCAUACCCGUUGGCACUUACCAAAGGAAUUCCUCCAAUCUACCCGUUGGACGGAAUCAAUUAGGAAGAUUGUUCGAGCUAUUAAAGAAACGUGUCGAUAGCCCAUCAAUCCUGUUCACCCAUACAAUCAAGAUCUCGGUUUCCAUAAGUAGAACCUUCCAAGAAUAUUUAGGCAAUCAUCGAAUCUUCAAUCAUCGAAUCAAUCUCGAUCAAUCAAAGGAUUCCAUUACGUCUUUUCCAGCCACGAGAUCUUCUCCAGUUGAUAAGGUUAAAUCCUUGACGAAACAUCCAGUUCUGAAUAACCUUUCUUCAACGGAUUAGAGACUGUCAAUGAGGAUAGACUUUGAGUCUUGAGUCUGGCUGUCCGGAGGUCUUCAGACUUUAAAUAGCAGAGCCUGCAAGCCUUCAAACUAGACUGAUGGAAACGUUUUGUCAGCUUCAAAACACUUCAAGAAGAUUUCUCCAACAGUGGUCUCUCCACAACCUCUACAUACACUCUACUUGAAGGAUUUUGCAGCCUACACUCCCAAGCAUAAUCCCACACCUGUCCAUAUUCGCUGCUGUAUUGAUCAAUGAGUAUCUUCAUCACCUUUUGCUUCGUUCUUUUGCAUUGAUUCUUGCUUAUAUUGAUGCCAACCUGCUCCUUCACCAGCAACCUGAACUGAGUACUAUUCAUCUGAGGCAUCAUCUUAAUCAUAUUAAAGAAGUGCUUGCACAACCAUGCACUUGUUACCCUUUUAUUUUCAAAAUUAAUGGAACAAGUAUGUUCCUCUUCGUACGCUCUAAUCUGGAAAGAUCCACUUCUCCUAACAAAUGCACCAUAGAUCCUCCAUGGACAAUUUUGCUGCGAACACUUAGCUCUUACAAAGGCCUUAGUGUUUCUAAUGAAGUCAAUGUUCCUCUGUGCAGCAAUGGAGUUCUUCAGUAUAGCUUCCCUAAAUUGUUUUGCAUCUUGAAAUUUCAUACCUACCGACAAAGUAGGAGAGGCAACGGAUGGAUCAUAAGAAGGAAACUUACUUUUCCUUCUCCUUGUAUGCACAACUCCUUCAUCUUCUUCAAGCUCAUCCUGGGAAGUAACAUUCUCAAGGCUUUCUUCAUAAUCAGUCUCCUCACCAAUGGCAACAGCAUCUACAGAGCCUUCGGCUUUAUUUGGAACUUCAUCAGCUACCUGCAAAGCUGCAAAUUUAUCUGUCAAAAAAUCCCUUUGCCUUUUUCUUGACUGUACAAGCUCCUCGUCGUCGUUAUCACUUGUGAAAUUUGCAGUAGGCAACCCUUCAUCAUCAUCAUCACUUGAUUCAGCUACUUCCCAAUCUAAUCCAGUGAUUGUGACAUCACCUAUGUCAUCAUCACUAUGGUGAACUGCAUCUGCGCUCCUCUCCUCUCCAUCAUGUCUAUCCUGCCUUUCUUCGACCCUAACCUCAGUACUACCUUGAAUACCAUUUCCUUCUUGUUCUAUUUGGGCACUUUCUUCAUCAUCAUCUUUAUCCUCACUUUCAUUGUACUCAACAUAUAUUUUUACCUCUUCACCAUGAAGAUAAUGGUAUAGAAUAUCCCUAAAGCCGUUAUCGUUUUCUAAGGUUCGCAAACCAUCUCUUAAACCUUUCCCAGGAAUACAAUACAACAACUUCUAAACUUUACAAGGCAAAUAAGUUAGUAUAUCCCUAACAAAUCCUAUAUAAGAUGCCUUCUUAAUGUCGACAAAAAUGGUGCCCUCAUUUCCACCCUCAUACUCCCACUCAUCCUCCCCAAUUACAAAUUCCCCAGCAUAGCAAACUAUGACAGCGACAUAAUCCUUGGCAUGAGCCAUUUCUGCACCAACAACAAGACAAAGAAUAAUUAGUUUUGGGACCACAUCCACAAAGAACAAUAGACAAUCGCACAAGGGAGUCCCCCCACUCUCAUAGACUUUAUUAAACAGGUCCCCACACUGACAAUAUGCCCAUAUAUGACAGCCAAAAAAGAGGUCGACACUUUAAUAAUUUACCUUCCCUUCCUCUACAAUAUUAAUAAAAAACAGAGGCCCCCACACUGAGAAUAUGCCCCUUCAUGACAGCUAAGAGGUCGCCACUUUAAUUAUUUUGCCUUGCCUUCCAUUCCCUUAAAAUAUAAACCAAAAACAGAGGUCCCCACAACAAGCAUAGGUCCCCACAUUUGCUGAACUAAACCUGCGAUGUGAGAAUGUACAUCCACUUAAUCAAAUCUAUUUUUCCUGUGAAACACAUAGAAUUUCAUUAAAGCAAGCUUGAUGUAAAAUUAUAGGGUAAAAGUUCUGUUUCUCAUCCAGCCAAGAGGAGAAAUCAUACCCCUAAUCUAUAAUGUUUGGCCAUUAAUAUAUUGUGUCAAGAGGUCAUUACACAAUCCAAGCCCUAAAUUUAUCCAUUGCACAGUAGACUAAUACUACAUGUCAAAAGAGCUCAUAGUUUAUAAACUUUAAAAUGAGGUACUUACAUGUGGUUUCAAAUUUGUCCCUUGCAGGUAAAUGAACUUAUAUAAAGUAUCAAAACAAAUUUUGCACUCCUCAAUGCCCUGCAUAUAUGUCGACUAUCUGAUUAGAAACAACAAUCAGGAAAGAAGACUAAAAGAACGAAAAGAUCGGAAUCAAAGGAACAAAAGCAGAUUGAUAGCAAAGUUGCGUGCUCUUUGCAGAGCACUUAAAGGCCAUUAUUCCAGCCACCUGAUUCAAUAACUUUUCACUCAAACACAUUAGUUCCUAGUUCCACAUUAGUCAAUAUUUUGUCUCACUCGAGCCUUGACUGCAUAAAUCAUCGACUGAGGCAAGCAUCUCCACACAAGGGAGUAACCAAACAGAGCGCGCACAUUUCAACAGCAUUUCCAUCGUAGCCUUAAUAAAAUAAUCGAGCGAGCCCUAAUAAAAUAAUCGAGCGAGCCCUAAUAAAAUAAUCGAGCCCUAAUUUCAUCACGAGGGAGGGGGAAAAGGGGCCCAACCUAGAGGAGUGACGAUGGUGAGCAGGGAUGACGACCAACGAUGCUGAGUGGCUACGACAACCAACAACGGCGACCGAUGACCACCUAUGGGCGUGAACGGCGACAGAGAGAAGGGCGGCGACGGCGUGAACAGCGAUGGAGAGAAGGGCGGCGACGACUGAGAUCUAAUGUGAACGCAGAUGGGAAGGAACAACGACGGCUAGGUGUGCUUAAGCCAAAAUGACCUAAACGACGUCGUUUAACACCAACGAAAAACGACGUCGUUUAGGUCAGCUCACUCAGUGUGGGUGGACAACGUCGUUUUGUCGUCCACGUGGGUUUUUUUUCUUUAAACGUUUGCCACCUCAGUAAAAGAAGUCGUCGGGAAACGCCACGUAUGCAAUUUGGCCGGAUUUUAGCCGGAUUGGCACUCAAGUGAUCAAUUUUGCUCCGAUUUUGGCACUUAAGUGUACCUUUCGUAACUUUUGGCACUUAAGUGUCCCUUUGUGCCAACUUUUGGCACUCCAGGGGUCCGUGUCCCGUCUCAAAAGGAUCACUAGCUUUGAUUGCCCCUUUUCACCAUUUAUGCCUUCACCUAUAAGUUCCAACCACACCAAUGCAACAAAAUUUAGUGCUUAAGGACUACCAUCACUAGGUUACCUGACUAUCAACUACAAACAGGGAAAUUGCAUGUCUCAGCUGGAAAAUUGCAUCAAUUUAGAAUGUCACCCGAACAAAUGUAUCUUACAUUGAGCAAUAUCAAAGGGAUAUACACAGCAAACAUCCGCAAGGUCAUCACUCUAAAUGAAAACCUUAACUUAUGAUACUCCAGAGAACAUGGCAUGUCCUGUAGGGUCGAGGAGGGCACUCAAGCAACAUUAUAAAGGUGUUCACCAAAGUGUGAGAUAAAUUGAGUGAACUUCAUAUAUAAAAUCGUGGUAUUGAUCUAUGAGCAAUAUAAACUGAGGAAAAGCCAAGGAAGAGUGUCUUAAAGAGGAUGUAAUGCUCCUUGGAACAAAUUCUUCAGCCAUUUCAACACAGAAAUCAGAGAUACUUAAAAGUUCAAACACAGAGGAUAAAAUUUUAACCAAACUUCUUUUUAUACUGCUUAAAAAUGAGCUGCCCUUUACAAGCAUUGAGGGGUUUAUUUCCAGGAGUAUAGACAAUCAGAACCCACGAUCACUUCUUUCUCUUCCUUUUUGUUUGGUCAUUUCUAGUAUGAACAAGAGAAGCAGGAUGAGAGUGAUACACUCAUACUCCACAAAAGGGUCCAGCAGCUUGCAAUGAUAUAUCUGAUAGAGCUUAAUUGCUAACAAAUUCAAAAUUAAUCAACCUGAGGUAGGAAUAGUAAUGGCAAGGAUAAAAACAUCUCAUAACACAAUUUUCAAGAGUAAAUCAAAAUGAUGGGUAAGCCAAACUCCAUGAACACCAGGUGAUCAAUAAACAAGUGGACAAAUUUCAUGUAUCGAAUCCCAUUUUAGGGUAGUCACCAUUCUUCCACUACAAACUGAGGAUUCAAUUGGCUAACAUGUAGCCACAAAAGCACAUUACACAGAAAAUGAGGCAGAUGGUAUACGAAGCAUUAUGUAAAAUGCAGUUCUUGUUACCUAAAAACUUCAAAUUGCAUUUGAUGAAUGCCAAUGUUCAGAGUGGAUAAAUCACAAAAGAACAGAACAAGGGAAGCCACUCUCAAGCAGAGGAACCCUCUUCAAUUUUGGUAUAUUCCAUAUAUAUCCACUGGAUAAAAUUGCAAAUCGUGGUCCCAUCACAUAUGCUCCAGUUCUAGACGAUUCCAUAGAGCCACGUGAGUUAACUUUGGGAAGGAGGAGUGCUCAUGUUGGCUAAUCAAACCUAAUCAAAUUAAAUAGAACGAAUGUAAACAAUCUAAAGACAUUAGAGACUUCUCUGGCCAAUCGAACUUAAUCAAAUAAAACAGAAAGUGAUUUAGUGUGCAAAUAUGCAAUUGGAAAUACGAAGUCCAAGAAAAGUAAGCAUUUAUCUGAAAGACUAAUUUACACUGGUUUAAUUUUGGCUUAAAGUAUAGUGAUUGAUUUAAAAAUCAGAAAGGACUCGACAGUGAAGAUAGAUAGUACUGGAUGAGCUAUAACAGAAAAGGCAAUUAAAAGAAAAGGAAGAAUGGAUUGACAUGCUAUCUAAGCACUCCCAACUAAUAAAGCAUAAGUUAAGAAUUGACCCGAUAUUUUAGCACUUUAAGUGUUAUAAUAAUUUACCUGAAUGCAUAGCCCUUUGAUCUACUUUAUUUGUCAGUGGCCCAUUUGACACGUAUCUAAUUGUUAAAGUAAUGAAACAUUUUUCUUAUUCCAGUUUAAUGAAAUUUAAAAAAAAAAAACAAAUUUUACAUUUCUAGGCUUCAGCAUCUUUCUAACAAGGGUGUCAUAAUCAAUUAUUUUGUAUAUAUGAGAAAUGGAAGACAGAAAAUAUUCCUACACUGAUAGUAACUUUUCUGCAGCCAUUAAUUAUUUGUUAUCUCCUUAUUGUGAUCAUUUUGACCCAAAAAGUGACUGUUUGACGUAUAAGAAUUUGUAUCAGUCUAUCCAAAAUUUUUGUAUUCUUAGAAUGGCUCUUAUAGUAAAGUCGGCGAGAAGACCAUCAUUUAAAUGUACAAAGAGAACCUUGCCCAAAAAAAGGAAAAGCGUGGACUAUUGCCGUUGUUACUCAUUCAAUGUUAAGGGAGUAUUUCUAGUUUCUGAACAACACCGUAACUAUUAAGUUUCAAUAAUCAUAUAACCAUUUUGCUAUACUCUCAAGCUGUAAUAAGUCAUUUAUCAGUGAGUAGUACGGGCAGUUCCUAAGUAGUGAUGUGGUAUACAACUUGGUAUAAAAAUUUUGGGGAAAAAACCGAACUUCUGUACCGCGGGAGAUCAAUCCUUAGAAGGCCCCGUGGGAGAUGGAGAGGAUAACAGAGUAAAAUUUGUAGGUGACUCACCAAGAACAUUCGACCAAGUGUUCUAAUGAAUCACGGGCAAGGGGAUUGUCCCACUCCAGCGACUCCCACGUCUGCUGAUCUAUCUGAAUCUCCCAAAGAGAGGGGGGAGGAGAAGGGAGCCCAUUGUCAAGUAGGGACAGCUGCAGAGGAAUCCUCCUUAGUUUCGGACAAUUGUAUAUAGAAAUCCACCGGAGGGAAUUGCAACCCAUGGUCCCAUCACAUAUGCUCUUCAGUUCCGGAAGAUUCCAUGGACCCAGGUGAAUUAACUUUGGGAAAGAGUGCGUCAUGUUGGCAGUGCCUAUUAUCACCUCUAUGCCCUUGCAGUCUUCGAUUGAUAUCUCUAGGAGGAAAAGGAGGUGAAGCGAUAUGUCUUGCGUCAGCAGCCUCUUCAUGUUGUUGCAUCCGUUUACUUCGAGAUACGUGAGAAAACAAGUGGCACCGCUUGGUAGUGACCCACUAAUUAUCUCCUCUAAUUCAUCACAAUUAUAUACAAUAAUCUCCUCCAGUUUUGAAAAGCAAGUGAUCAUCCACUCCCAUCCCAUCACACUCUUCAAUUUAUGACACCUGGACACUCCCAAUGAUUGCACACUUUCUGGAAUAAGAGCACAGUGAUCACUGCUUGUUCCAUCUAUGCUUGCAAUGAUAUGGUCACAACUAUUGAUGAAUAUACGCCUGUAAGUCUGAGACUCGCAGUGAUACGGUGCAUCCAUCACAAGCUUGUAUUGUUGGGAACUAUUUUGCUCAAGAAACCUCAUGCAUGCAUUGAAUGUUUCCACGUCGGGAACAGAACAAUCAAGUGCUUCCAACUUCUUUAAUUUUGCUACUUCUCCUGCCCUCACCUUUUUAAUCAUAAGGUAUUGCAAAUUCACCAGAUUCCCCAACACUCCUUGUGUUAAUGUCUCGAUCUUUGUGCCAUCUAAGUCAAGGUACCUCAGGUUGACCAACAUCUCCAUUCCCUCCGGCACUUCAUCAAGGCUUGAACACCCUUGGAGGUCCAACUUUCUGAGGUGUCCCAACUUUCCUACAUGAGGAAUAAGUUUUAAUGCCCGACACCUCCGCAGUAGCAGUACUUCCAAUUUGUCCAAGUGACAGACGGACUCCGGCAAUUCCGCGAUUUGGGUGUUGCUGAGAUCUAGAUUCUUCAGCACCUUCAAAUUUCUGAAGAAAGAAGUGUGGAUAUUUCCCAACAUGACAUUGUUAUUUAACAACAACCUGGUAAGUUUAGGGCAAUUUGGCGAUAUGCCGUGUGUAAUUUCUUCUAUUUUGUUGCCUUGUAAAUAGACUCUCUCUAGGCAAUCGGUCCAGAAUACUUCCUCUGGUAUUUCUUUCAACCCCAUAUAGGCCUUAACCAUGUGAGUUGUGCUCGUCACCAUAUGCAAUGCCAUGUACCUUGUCAAUGGGUGUAGAUAUAGACACUCUACCUCUAGAUCAUCCAACAGGCAAGCCUUUCUCAUUUUAUCCAAUAUGGUGUUACCUUGGUCAUGCAGUUCUUGCAAGGUUGCAAGUCCAUCUAACAAACCCUCAUCUAUGAACGACUCUAUCAAAUGCUCUCUACUAGUUUCUAAAAGGUCUUCACCAAAACAAAGUGCUAAAUGCAAGAAACACUAUUGCACUUGAUGAUCACCCAAGUUCAUGUAACUGAGUUUCAGUCCUUUGAACGCCUCAAGUUCUAUCCUUGAGUCUUUGAAUUUUUGCAACAUGCCUUUCCAUUCGUGAACUUUCUCUACUCCCCUCAUGCGAGUCCCUAUAUCAAUGAUCCCAAGUGGCAAACCAUCACACUUGUGCAUGAUAAACUUCGCAAUUUCUUCAAUAUCUGAAGGGAGUUUUCCAGCGAAGCAAAGUACCUUUAAAAAUAACCUCCAAGACUCUUCCCUCUCAAGAGGUUUUAUUUUGAUUUGCUUUUGACAGAGCAUCAUAAAACACACAUCUAGUGAUCGAGUAGAGAGCACCAACUUUACACUGCCCAUUUCAACUGGAAUUCCCACGUCUUUAACUUCGAAAUGCAUCCACAGGCCAUCUAAAAUUAGAACAGAUUUCUUCAUCCUCAGAUGUCCAUACAGUAUGCUUGCCCUCCUCUUCACGUCCUUCUCAUUUGAGAUAUUGUGUAGCCCGACUGCAUUGGCAAUCUCUUCUUGCAGUGCAUAUGUGCUAAAUUCCAAAGGCACAUUGACCCAUAAUACAUCAUCAAAAGCACGAUUCUCCAAGAGUUUAUUAUGGACAUGCGUCAAAAUGGCUGUCUUGCCCACUCCAACCAUUCCAACAACACCAAUGAUGGAAAUGUUCUCCUGCACUAAAUAGGAAUAAAUUUCAUUAAUCUUUCGGUGAGUCCCUCCGCCUACUAAUUCUGUUGUCACUAAGGGAGAUCUUCUGCUGCAUCCUUUAGCAAGUGUCGUUGUCUCUUGGAGGAAUCUUUCUAGAAUUGGAAGAAUCUCUUUAAAUUCUUUGACUGCCUGCCCCAAGCUGCAACAUCCUUUUAAUUUCCUCCACUUUGACUCAUUCAUGUUCUCUACGCCCCUGCUCGUAAGUUCUUCCCGCUUCCUUUUGAUAGAUUUCAUAUUCUCGAUGGCAGGCCCACAAGUACUUGGUUUACUCUGUGUUCUGGCAUCUAACGUCAAUCAUAAAUAAAAAUUCAAUAUGUGCUUUUUCCUAGACAGUUUUUAUAGAAAUGUGACGCUCACAGAUAAAUAAUUCGUUUGUAACAGUGUAUUCAACACUUUCAUAACAAAUGUAUCAUUUACAACCUCCCAUCAAAUAUAUAAGGAAUAAAGGCACUGCUAAUCCCCAAUCCUCUGCAAAAUAUUCAAUCAUGUCCCUGAAUUCUUGAACUAUAUAUUCUGGGACAGUUUCAAAUGCAAAAUAUGCGCAAUCGUGUGGAACAUAAUUUUUUAAAUACUUGACAUUUAUUGUCAUGACUCCGAUGGAGGAACUUGUUCGGUCAACUUAAUAUUUCUGACUAUAGAUCUUUGAGAUGGAACAUAUGGAUGAUUAUAGAUUUCUUAUCAAAACAUGCAUAAGAACCUGGAGAUGCAGAACUGGAGAUUCAUUAGGAUUAACGAUUUGCUAAAGUGAGCAUGAAGAAUAAAUGCAUUACCAGGGAAAGCUCACAAGUGCACGUGCGACAUGCCUCAACCUUGCGCAGAAUUACUAGCCACUUCUAUAGAUAUAUGCAGAAUUGGAGAUUUGCUAGGAUUAAAGAUGUGCUAAAGCGAGCAUAAAGAAUGAAUUACUACGUAAAGCUCGCACGUCGACCUUGUGCGAACUUCAUUAGCCAUUAUAUUAGAUAUGGAUAGAUGUUCGAGUGUGGAUAGUUCCCCAAAACCCCACACAAUUUGACCAACUCGAUAUGUUGAAAGCUUCCAAACUUAGCAACACAUAAUUCGCUGCAACAUCUACAACCCUUUUUCUAUUACGAAGAAAAGUAGAAACCAGAAAGUGGUUAACCAGAUACACGCUAGCGCCCUUCUAUGCAUCCUCCUUUUCACUUUGGAAGUAAUUUUAGUGAUUGAAGUGAUAUCCACAUAGUUGAAAUAUGUUCAAAAUUUUGGUACAUGAGAAUGAAAUUAAACUGGUGCUCUUGUGUGUACUGAUACAAUCGUCCAUCUCCAACAAAGUCGGCCCACUAGCAACUUAUAUACAAGUGCGAGAUUAUCACGUGCUUAGAUAGAGAGCAAUGAAUGGCUUUUCGAGAUUUGAACGUCAGGAUUAAAGGCAUUUGUUCCUUCAUAUUGGAAGGAUCUAUUAAUCAUCAAUGACGGACUUUUAAGUUCCUCUCUUCCUAUUCUAUUCUGUGUCUUCUAUUACAAUUAGAAAUCUAGACGUCCUGCCUUUAUCCUUAUUACCAGGUAAGGAUUGGGACACAGAUUACGGGUCCGAAUGAGCUUUAGAAAAAUGGUAAAAUGGUGAAUUUGAAGAUGCACGUACCAUGUGGAAGAACCCCUAUACUGGAUUCACCUUCAUCUGCAUUCGGUGGGAUUAUUUUAACCAAGGAUACUGGGUCGAAUGAAGAGUGCGUCUCGGUCAUCAUGCGUCCAGCAGGAGUAAAUGGGAACGGCUGAGGCAAUGGACAAACGGCAGUGCUUAUGACACCGGAGCUCACGUAAGGCAUGGCAGCCGUUGCAUCUUCAUUGCUCGCGGUCGCAGGCUGGUGCGGACCCUCCUCAACAUCGCAUCGCCCGUUGCUCGAUUCCACCGCUAUUUUAGCCUUCAACGCUUCUCCGGCUUCUGAUCUAACUCGGUCGUCGCCCAACAGGAACCUAUGAAAGAGGAAGUGGCCCAUCAAUGCCUGCAGUCCCACAGACUGCUUCCCGCAUAAUUUACAGCUCCACCCAUAAUCAUAAUCAGGCAGAGCUCCGGCCCCAACAACCUCCGUGGCGGCUAUCGCCAAUGUCCUGUAUCACGAAGAAGAGUUCGAGUGACUGGAGAACAGGCAAGACGUAUGAAGCAGUUAUCAGAUUUUGCUCCUCAGAUUGGAAACUAACCUUUUGGUGUCUUCAUCAAUGUUUUCUUCCCUUUCCGAAGGCGGUUUCCUCUCUUGUUCUGCUUCUGCAAUCUCUCUGUUCGGAGAUUUCUCAGUCGCCAUGGCCUUGCUGCGUUCCUCCAGGCACCGGUUCCGCCGUUGCCGAAAGAAAAUUCUGCAAGAGGAUGCAAUCUCACUGGCAAAUCCCCCUCGACCGAGCUCCAAAAGAUCUCGCCCUUCGCCCCAACCCAAAUCUCGCCAUUGAAUCCCGCUUUACCGCAAAAUACGAAGCGGUGCGAUACUGCGAGACUCGCCCUGGAUUUUGCCUGCCGCAGACUACGCAAAAUAUAUGAAGAUUAAAAGAACCUUCCUACCCAAAAAACAACAGAGAGGGAGAGAGAUUAAAAUAACCAAAAUAAAUCGAUAGGGAACGUGGCGUUCGGAACGUCACCGUCCCCGAGGUUGUCUCACGGAAACGUGCUAAUGGUAAUGGGGCCAUCCACGCCGUUAGUUUCGAAGAAGCAAAGGAGCAUCGUUGGAUAGAUUACAGCUUAGAAGAAAUUACAGAUUAACAUGGGAAAAAUUUUAUCUGGUAGGAUGUAUCUCAAAUUAUAUAAGAUUUUCAAAGAUUAUUACCUGAUUUAGGAUAGAUUCUUAUUUCUUUUUUAGCAUCGCGAUUACUUAAUUAUCUAGAAUAUUAUUGAUUUUAAUUUAUCUUAGGAGAGAGUUUACUUUCUCAAUCGAAAAAAAAGUUUCAAAUAAAUACGACAAACUCUCUUUCACUAAAGAUGUAUGGAAAUUACUAAUCGUCUCAUGCUUUCUUAAUUUGGAUAAAUUUCAAUUUCUGAGGGAUUGUAUUCAUGAUCUGACGACAUUUGGCCAUCUAUCGGACUCUCUAACGGUGGUCUGUAUCUUGAAUGCCAUCUUCGGUUAUUUGACGGCCCUGUCUCCGGAUUACUGGACCUAUUGCCUCCUCCGCUUCAUUACUGGAUUUAGCACGGGCGGGGUCGGCCUAUGCGCUUUCGUACUGGCCACCGAGCCUAUUGGCCCAAAGAAGCGCGGGGCGGCAGGAAUGUCCACUUUCUACUUCUUCUCAUGCGUCAUAGCUCUUCUCUCCGGCAUCGCUUAUGUGUUUUGCUCAUGGCGGGAGCUCUACAUCGCUUCCUCCAUUCCGUCCAUGCUCUUCCUCGUGGGGGUCCUCCCUUUCAUCUCAGAGUCCCCACGGUGGUAUCUCGUCCGGGGAAAGAUUGAUGAGGCCAUGAAGCUUAUGCGAGCUAUCGCCAAAGCCAACAAGUAACACCUCCCCGAUGGGGUCAUCCUCGCACUUGAUGAGGAAGUGAAUGAAAACUCGAACGAUGGUCCAUCCUGCAAAGAUCAGAUGGACACAAAGGAUGCAAUAACAGGGUCUCUCAUCGAUGUGGUGAAGUCGCCUGUCACUCGGAUUCGCCUUUUCUUGGCGGUGGCAAUCAACUUUCUUUGUUCGGUCGUGUACUACGGCAUUAGCCUAAACGUUGUCAAUCUCCAGACCAACCUUUACCUUAGUGUGUUCCUCAACGGCGUGGCUGAAAUGCCAGCCUUUACAAUAACGGCCCUAUUGCUUGAUAAGUUCGGGAGGAAGCCGCUGGCAAUCGGAACACAGUGGUUCAGUGGAAUAUUCUGUCUUAUAGGGAGCUUGGUGAUGAUACACGGGGAAUGGAAAGUGGCGAGGAUGGUGUGCGGAAUUCUUGGGAUUUUCGGGAUGGCCGGCACGUAUAAUUUGCUCUUCAUCUACAUGGCUGAGCUGUUUCCGACCGUGGUGAGGAAUGCGGCUCUUGGCUGUGGAGCUCAGGCGGCGCAAAUGGGUGCGAUUUUGGCGCCUUUAGUGGUGGUCUUAGGAGGCGGCUUCCCCUUUGCGGUCUUUGCGGUUUGUGCAAUUCUGGGAGGGAUACUAGCAUUUUACCUCCCGGAGACACUGAAUCGGCCUUUGUAUGAUACAAUGGCUGGAAUGGAAGGUGGGGAGAGUGUAUGAAGGAGCUCAAUCCUCUUACUUCAAACUAAACUUGAUUAAUGUAGGCUUAAAUGACUCUUCUUGAUGAUAGGAUUUUCCUUUUUUUCCUUUGGGACAUGAGAGUGCAGGAUGGCAGAAUCUGUCUCUUAUAAAAGGGGAGAACGUUUGUAAAAGUGUAUCUUUCAAAUCACUCAUGUUGCCUUAAGGCAGUUGCCAUCACGUGAUGAGAACACAUUAUGCUGACCUUCGACUCUUAGUGUUGUCAGAUUAAUGCAUUAAACUCCACAUAAUGUUGCUAUCAGCAUCACUGAUCCUACUAUCGAUAUGUUGAAAAGAAAACGUUUGUGUCUGAUCAUUCUGCCUUCGUGCAAGAGCAUCAAACCCACCGGUUCUUUGAAAUAAAAGGCGAGUUCACCGCAAGAUUAGUGCUUAAGGGACUACCCCCACUAGGUGGUACAGUCGACUCUAUCCUGAAUAUGCAGAAAAUUACAUCUCUUAGACGAGGAAAAGAUUCUGCUUUUCAUCUUGUACUUUCGCACAUUUACUAAUCAAGUUAUUUUAGUUUCAUAAUAUUUUAUCGUCUUGGCACCGAAUCUGACCAAACCAAGCUGACGUGGCCGUUGGAUGAUACCAAAGUAUGAGGCGGAUACUUAUGUGGACAUGGGUGGAAAAAUAUAGCCAAUGUAGACGUCGGAGUUGAUGUGGAUAAGACUUUUGCCAUGUAAACGGUCAUGCAGACGUCUACAUUACAGAAAUAUUAUCCCCUCACACUAUGACGUUGUCCGGGGCUGUGUCAGCUGAAUUUGACCAAAUUUGAUGUUGGAGGGACUUAAAUAGAAAAUGUGAAGAUAGACAAAAAAAGAAAAGUAAAUUGAUUUAAAAAAAGAGCGUAAAAGUAUAUGGAUGAAAAGUAGAAAUAUUUUGACGAAGCUGGAUAGAAUCUCGUGAGUUUUGGCAUGAUGGAGGAGGAAAAGGCGGGUCAGUUCAAGAAAAACAAAUGGGACAGUUGGCCAGUGUUCUCCAUACUGAGGAAAUUACAUGCAACUGUGAGAAAUCCAAAGUAGGGUUCAUGCAGAAUCAAAGUGGUGAAGGAACUCAAUUGUGAAGUUCCUUUUUCUCGCGUUUACUCUCUACUUUCUUUGUGAUUGUGUGACGAAUCCUAACAAUCGUGAUGUUAUAGAACUUGGAGUCUCAAAUAGACAAAGGUGCGCAUAUGCGCAUGAAGUAGACAUAUACUCUUUGAGAGCUUCACCUCUCUUCACAUUCUCUUUGUCCUUUCAUUUCCUCGCAAUUUCAAUUCCUGUUUGUUUUCCUUUCCGAUGUACUUCAAUUCCCAUGAAUUUCCCUUUAAAGUAGCUUCAGUUCGAUACAUUUGUCUCUAUUGGCACUUGGUUUCGAGUUGAUUCAUCACUACAUCCAAAUCCCAUUUGCAUAUUUUGUGUUUGAGCAUGAAACUGCGGAGCCAAUCGUCUAAAGUUCGACACAAUCGACUGACUUGUUUUUCGUCGACUGCAAUAAAAGGUGACUCUACAACAAUAUUUAGUGCUUAAGGACUACCAUCACCAGGUGGUACAGCUAACUCCGAAAUGGAUAGGCAAAAAGUUGUAUCUCUUAGCGAACAAGAUGCAUGCAGGGGAAACCAAAAGAUGGAUUUAGAGGACAAAAAUGUUAAAAAACAGAGGAGAUGCAGAUAUGCAGAUAUGCACAAGAGUAGCGUUAAAAACAGAGGAGAACAGAGGAGAUACUGAUAUUCACAAAAACAGAGGAACCGUUUGCAGAACCACACACAUAAAAAAUUGACACCAUAGCCUUUAUAUAGGCUUUACAAAAACAAAUAACCACCACAGCCCACUAACUUCACACGUACAACAACCAAUCCACAUAAUAGAAGUGCUUAAUAGACUAUUAACACAUAAAAAACAAACCAGAAACAUUGACUCGUUCAACAUUCCCUCCCUUAAACUGAUGUUGCAAACAAUCAGUUUAAAGGACCUUCUCUCAAUUUGGAAUAUCCAACAAACGAACACCAAUGAGCUUUCUCAACUUCUGAAACAUGGACAACUUUAGGGGCUUGGUGAAUAUAUCAGCCACUUGAUCUUCACUUCUACAAAAAACUAGGUCAACUACUUCAUCCUUUGUAAGAUCUCUUAAGAAGUGGUACAUCGCAUCUAUAUGCUUGCUCCUCCCAUGUAGAACUGGAUUUUUGGACAGCUUGAUAGCUGAGCUAUUGUCACAAUAGAUUAUAGUUGCUUCUUGCUAUUUGAACUGAAGCUCUCCAAGAAUCUUCCAUAACCAUAUGGCUUGACAGGCGCAUGAAGUUGCAACAACAAAUUCUGCUUCAGUUGUUGAUAAAGUAACAAUUGAUUGUUUCUUUGAAGACCAUGAAACCGCCCCUAAACCAAGCAUGAAUACAUACCCUGAAGUACUUCUUCUAUCAUCAACAUCUCCAGCAUAAUUGCUAUCUGUAAACCCAAACAAAUCUUACUUUUCUCCCUUUUUAUAGAACAGCCCAAAAUUUUUAGCUCCUUGCAAAUAGCGAAAAAUCUUUUUUGCAGCUUGUAAAUGUAACUCUGUUGGGUGCUCCAUAUACCUGCUUAUAAGGCUCACAGCAUGCAUGAUAUCUGGUCUUGUCCCCGUCAAAUACAUCAGGCUUCCAACAAUUUGCUUGUAGAGAGUGCUAUCCACCUUACUUCCAUUAGGAUCUUUCAAGAGCUUCAAUCCAACUUCAAUUGGAGUAGUCACGGGGUUACAAUUAUUCAUUUGAAACCUGUCCAAAAUCUCUUGAACAUACUUCUUUUGAGACAUAAAGAUUCCAGUUGCAGAUUGAAUUACUUCUAUGCCCAGAAAUAAUGCAUCAAUCCAAGAUCAGUCAUCUCAAAUUCAUCCAUCAUAGACUCCUUGAAUUUGUCAAACAUGGCACUAUCACUCCCAGUAAAAAUAAAAUCAUCCACAUAUAAGCAUACAAGAAGCAACUUUCCACCAUCACCAAUUUUAAUAAAGAGUGUAUGCUCAUAUGGACAUUUUCUAAAACCUUUCUUCAAGAAAUAGGCAUCAAUGCGACUAUACCAAGCUCGGGGAGCUUGUUUUAACCCAUAUAGUGCCUUCUUUAAUUUAUAAACUUUAUAUUCACUACCGAGCUUCACAUAACCAGAAGGUUGAUCAACAAAUACCUUUUCUUGAAGAUCACCAUGCAAGAAUGCUGACUUCACAUCCAAUUGGAAGAUAGGCCAUGAAUUUUGUGCUGCUAAUGCAAUUACUAAUCUGAUUGUGUCAAGUCUUGCUACAGGUGCAAAUACUUCUUUGUAAUCCACUCCAAAUUCUUGCUUGUAGCCUUUCGCCACCAAGCGCGCCUUAUACUUAUCAACUUCACCAUUCUUGUUCAAUUUUGUCUUGUACACCCACUUGACUCCGAUUGUUUUGUGUCCUUUUGGAAGAUCUGUUAACUCCCAAGUGUUAUUCCUCUCAAUAGUUGCAAUUUCUUCAUCCAUUGCUAUCCUCCAAUUUUCUUUUUGUACUGCUUCAUCAAAAGUUGUUGGAUCACAAUCUGAAAACAAAGCAAAAUGGAUAAGUGGAUCUUCAUAUUGAUCAACUCAUGUUACUUCAUAAUCACUCAUCCAUGCAGGCCUCCGUCGAACACGAUGAGGCUGAUCUUCAGGUUUCGCAGCUGCUGCUGUACUUUGGACACUGCCUGUGGCGAUUUGGGUUGUUGUGGAUUGCUACACCAGCUCAUUUUCAUCUUCAAAAUUCGUUGGAAUUUGCUUACCAACACCUUGCUCACCCCACGGCCAAGUUUGUUCUUCAUCAAAAAUCACAUCACAGCUGAUAAUGAUUUUCUUGAUCAUAGGAUCAUAAAGUUUAUAGGCUUUUGAUUGAUCACUAAUGCCAAGAAAAACAUAUUUGACUCCCUUGUCAUCUAACUUCUUCCUCUUUUGGUCAGGAAUAUAGGCGUAGGCAAUACACCCCAAAAAUCUUGAAGUGAUCUACUGCAGGUCUUUGGCCGCUCCAUGCUUCUUCCGGUGUCAUAUUUUGAACAGCUAGAGUGAGACUUCUAUUUAAAAUAUGAAUGCUCCAAUUAACUGCUUCUGGCCAGAAAUUUUUUGGAAUUCCACUUCCCCUCAAGAGACUUCGCACCAUAUUCAGAAUGGUACGAUUCUUCCUCUCACAUACGCCAUUUUGCUGUGGUGUAUAGGCUGCUGUAAGUUGUCUCUUGAUGCCAUGCUUUACACAAAAAUCUAUAAACUCAAGUGAGUUGUACUCUCCACCACGAUCCGUGCGAAGGACCUUUAUUUGAUUUCCUCCAUCCUUUUCAACAAGUUCUUUGAAGUUCUUGAAAGCUGCAAAAGCUUCAGAUUUUUCUUGUAAAAAAUACACCCAAAUCUUCCGGCUAAAAUCAUCGAUGAAGGUAAUGAUAUACCGUUUACCUCCAUUGGAAAUUGGAGAUAUUGGUCCGCAAAUAUCUGAAUGAACCAAUGCCAACGGACUUUUUGCUCUCCACGAUUUUCUUUGUGGAAAUUGAGCACGAUGUUGCUUGCUAACAACACAAUCUUCACAAAUUUCCAAGGAGUAGAGAUUUGAGGAAGACCCUCCACCAUCUCUUUUUUAUAUAGUGUUCGCAACCCACCGAAAUUAAGAUGCCCAUAGCGAAAAUGUCAUAACCAAGCUUCCUCCUUCAAUCUUGCAGAGAAACAUGAAUUUGUAGUGUUGUGGAGAUACAGUGGAAACAUCCGAUUGCCUGUCAUUUUGACUUCGGCAAUUAAACCCAACUUCUCAUCUUGGAUUCUGCAAAUCCCACCUUUAAUAGAGAUUUCAUAUCCCUUCUCUUGCAGCUGACCAUCACUUAACAGAUUAGUCUUCAAUUCAGGGGCAUACAAUACAUUUGAGAUAGUUUGUACCGAAGUCCCUUUUGGAUGAAUUGCCACUGUUCCUUUCCCCAUCACUGACACAAUGGAAUUAUCACCAAACUUUACGAUGUUGUUGUACGUUUCGUCUAGAUCAAAAAAACAUUUUCUUGUCUCCACACAUGUGAUUGCUACAACCAGUGUCGAGAUACCACAUGUUUGGUUGAGUUUCUUCAUUCUCAUGGCACACCAUCAAAAGAGAUACUUCUUCUUCUUUUUCAACAAAGUUAGUUCUUUCAAUUCUUUGUUUAUUCAAAUUAGUUCGACAUUCAGAUUUGUAAUGCCUAUACCUGUGGCAUCUAAAACACUCCACUUUGGAUUUGUCUGCUGACCUUGGCCUAAAACCAGUUGAAUGUCGUCCUCCACGACCUCUUCCUCUCCCUUGGAAAUCACGAUAGGAAUAGCUUUCAGACUUUUGAUCAAAGAUGAAGCUGCUGCGAUCGUUGUUCUCCCUUCCUCUGCCUCUUCCUUUGUUCACCCUUGCUGCUGAUGAAGAAUGAUCUCCAGUUGAGACCUUCAAAGCUUGCUCUUCCGUCUCUUGUUGUAGUAGUUUUUGUUCAUGAACUAACAAGGAUCCUUGCAACUCAUCAAUGGAAAGUUCUUCAAUGUCCUUGGCUUCUUCUAUGGAACAAACAAUAAAGUUGAACUUUGGUGUCAAAGAUCAAAGAAUCUUUUCAACGAUGAUGACAUCCUCCGUCUUGUCGCCAUGAAUCCGCAUCUUAUUAACUAUUUCCAUUGUCCGAGAGAAGAAAUCUGUGAUUGUCUCUCCCGACUUCAUUCGUAGCAUUUCAAACUCCGAACGAAGCAUUUGAAGCUGCUGCUUCUUUGCUCUUGCUGAGCCUUGAUACUUUUUCUUCAUGGAAUCCCAUAUUUCCUUGGAGGUAUCCUUGCAAAGAAUUUUCUCCAAAAUGGAUCUGUCAAUUGCUUGGAAAAGAUAGUUUUUGGCCUUGAGAUCCUUCAAUUUUAAUGUAUCUAAAGCCGUUCUUUGCGCUGCCGUUAACACAGCUCCUUCAUCAGGUUCGGCAACUCCCAAAGAAACAACAUCCCAAUACUCCUUGAACUUGAGAAAAUUCUCCAUUAGCAUGCUCCAAUGAUCAUAGUGACCAUCAAAGUGUGGAAUAGCAGGUUGUACAAAUGUUUCUGAGGCCAUUACUGCUGUUGCAAAAUAGAACCACCACAAAAGCAACCUGCUGCUGCUACAAACGAAAAUAACCUGCUGCAAUACUCUCCUUUGACUGCUGCAAACGAAAGUACUUGCUGUAAUAAAAACUCUCUUUUGGUUCUCACCUUUUUACAGCACUCAAACACACACUUUUCUUCCUAACCUCGGCUCUGAUACCAAUGUUAAAAAACAGAGGAGAUGCAGAUAUGUAGAUAUGCACAAGAGCAGCGUUAAAAACAGAGGAGAACAGAGGAGAUGUUGAUAUUCACAAGAACAGAGGAACCAUCUGCAGAACCACACACAUAAAAAACUGACACCAUAGCCUUUAUAUAGGCUUUACAAAAACAAAUAACCACCACAGCCCACUAACUUCACACGUACAGCAACCAAUCCACAUAAUAGAAGUGCGUAAUAGACUAUUAACACAUAAAAAACAAACCAGAAACAUUGACUUGUUCAACAAAAAACACGAUGUGGGGCCGUCAUGUAUGGACACAAGAAAAGAAAUCAACAAAAUAUUAACUUAGAUGGCAAGAAAUUUAUUCCUCUUCUUGUGACCUUGAGGUUUAAGCCUCGUUGGGAGUAUUUCACAAGUAAAAUUCUAUUUGAAUGUCCUAGACUGUUAUGGGAAAGUGCGCCUUUAAGAUCUUUUGAGGAGAUAGACUUGGCAAGAUGUGCCAAAGUUAGCUUGGACAACCAUUUAACUGUGAAUAUUAAAAAAAGAAAGAAGGCAUAAAUCAAGCACAUCUUAUUACGGGAACCAGAAGUACCUAGACAUCAAUCGAGCCAGAUGACUUAGCAAUGGCGAUAACUUUUGAUGUCCACUGCUCUCAACAGACGAUUCAUCGGUGGGAUCAUCUGUGGAUUUCAUCAGUCUGGAUGCAGAGGUGAUUGGUCUGCAACGUCCCUCACUGUAAUCAUACCAAGAUCGUCUUUGUCCUAGAUAGAAUGUCAUGCCACACACACAUUAGCUUACAAGAACUUGACUUGUGGCCCAUUCUCUUGCUAACCCCAUCUAAUUUCUAUCCAAUAUUGCUUCCAAAAGAUCAGCCCUCAGAGAUUUCACAAAGUCGUAAAGAAAGUUAACCACUCAUCUCCUUUUCACUACAGAAAACGAUUUAAAGAAAUUAAAGUUAGUCGUACCACCUAGUGAUGACAGUCAUUUAGUUAUUUUCACCGGAUAACUUACUGUAGGGUAAUUUAUCUUAAUCUAUCAACAACGUAGAAUGAUAUCGAUUACAACAAGACAUGAAUGUUAUAUGUUUGUUUUGAGGAAAUGAAACUAGAAUAGAUAUAAUGGUCUCGGAAAAUUAGGGUUUUAUCAAUUCCCCCGAUUUGGUUUUCAGUUUUUGGUUCCUAAAAUGAUGUAGUUGGAAACCAGACCAGGUCGAAAUGGAGCCUGGAACCAGACCUAUUCCCAUAGGUUUGGUUCUCUGGUUCUCAAAUCUACUAUAGAACCAUGCUCAUCCCUAAAUAUAUCCUAUCAAAUAUUUUUUUCCCAUGUUUUUGUGAUUUUGAAAUUGCAAUUGUAAAUUUCUUCCUUUUGGCAAUUACUAAAUUUGGUAUGGAGUUGGCAACUUAUUUUCUCAACUUAUGAGUAAUCUGCAGAUACUAGUAAAGUUCCUAAAUCAUCGGUGAUUUGGGAACGCCGGAUAGAAUUUUCGUAAAAUCAAUUUCCGGAAAUUUUGAACACAAAGAAAUAAAUGUCUCAAGAAUCUAACUGGAAAUUUGAAUAGCAGUUUUGGAGUUGCUUUCCUCUUACAUAAUCCGACGAUUGUCUUUGCUUGUUUGAAAACAAACGGUGUAGAUGUGCCGAGCAUGAUUAUUGGUCAACCCAUAGGAACGUUGGAGGUUGCACAAUCGAGGGCACUCUCGAUUUGGUGAAUCGUAGAAAUCAAGAUGGAUAUUUUUAUCUCCUUUCAUGUAAAUUAUUUAAUAUUAAUGAUAUAUCAAUAUAAAUGAACUUAAAAAUGCGCAAACAAAGAUUAUAAUAAUCUUUUAUAAUUCACAGCCAAUUCUAGUAGAAGAGAGAAAAUAUAAUCAUUCAUUUUUGUGAUUAUAAAAAAUAGUACUUUGACUUUCUCGCUACUUUGAAACUUCAAUAAUAACCACAAAAUUACAGAGGAGUUUCGACUCUUUCUUGAACUUUUGACAUGAACUAGAGAGUUACGAAAGAAAAGAAGUUCCGUCUCUUUUGCCAUUUUCACGGAACAUUGACGUGAACUAAAAAACCAUGGAGGAGCCAUGAAAUUUCAACGUGAACUAGAGAUAGAAAGGAGAUGGAGAGGGAGAUGGAGACGGUAGGUUUUUAUUUAUUUAUUUAAAUUUCGUUGCCCUCAUUUUUCGAGCAUUAGAAUGAUCUUUUUAAGUUUGAAUUGGUUCAUUUAAAAUCUAGGUUCUUCUACUUCAUUUUUAUUUACUUAAAUCUUUUAUUCCCCUCCAACAUUCCUUAAUAAAAAUUCUAUCAAAUAAUAUAUUAUACUAUUAUACCUAAAAUAUGUUAAAAAAUGAUAUAUUGAGGGCUUUGUGGCCCUUGCUUAGAGGGGGUUGUCGGCCCUCACCUAGUGGCCACCGACCAUGGCUAACCCUUUGAACUAAGAAAGAAAGAAAAGAAAAAAAAGGAAAUUUAAAAAAUAAAAAUUGAUAAAAAAAUAAAAAUUUGUUAAAAGGCUAACGCCUAUGCUUUUCUAAUUACGCUCUUAUUCUUUAAUAUGCCUAAUCAAGCCCUUCUACUUUUCAAUUAUUUUAAUUAACUCCCCCAACACCAAAUUCGAUCAAAUUCAGCUUAUAGGGCCACCGGAUAACACUAAAGUAUGACGAUAAAAUAUGCGGAUGCCCACAUAGAGGUGCGAGGAAAGCUAUAGCCAUGUACACAAUAUCAAAGCUUGAUAUGGAUAUAAUUUAGCUACUCUAAAAUCAAACCUACUAUGGCAUAUCGGGUUGAGACUUGAGAGAGUAUCUAUUCAAGCAACGAAAAUAGAGGGAAGUGACAAGUAAGGAAGACAAAUCGAGAAAUACAGAGAGAGAUGCUUAUCACAAAUAGGAUAAGAAGACAAAAAUAAAUUAAGCAUAUGUCAUCACAGAAACCGAAGGUACUUCAAAAAUCAACCGAGCAAGACGACGUAGAAAUGCUGAUAACUUUGUUGUCCACUGCUACAAUUCAUCCUCAGCUGAUCAUAUACGGAUACUGUGACGGCCCGAGCGAUCGUCCUAGGACGUGCACAAGGAAGGGUCCCUCUCUUCUCUUGUCUAACAUUGCCUAGGGAGGGAGGUUUUGGUUAGCUUAUAAGGCUUGGGUUCCUCUAAUAUUUGUAACGCGUUUUAAAGCCGUGAGGGAAAAGACCAUGGCUGGGAUGGCGGUUCGUCCGCGCUAGGACGGGUGACCCAAAGCGGACAAUAUUACACAGUGGGGCCCGGAAUGUUAUAGAUACGCUCGCCCCAGCAGUCUGGGUUUAGAAUGAUUACAUUUUGUUAGUCAUUUGCUAAUAUCAUCAUCGUCCUAUGUAAAAUAUCAUGCCACAUGACUAUUAAUGAAAAAUCUAUCAACAUAUGUAUGGCAAUGCAUUUUGAUAGAGCUUAUAAAAACACGAUCUCUGGCCCAUUCCCUUAAUGACACCUAAAAAUGAGAAAAAAACUAAUUUACAUUGAUUUCAUUUUUUAUUACAGUACAACAAUUAGUUUAGAAACCGAAAAGGAGUUUGCAAUUGAAAAUAGGAGUACUGGGCGAGCUAAAAUAGAAAAGGUAACAUAAUGAAAAGGUAAAAAAAAAAAGAAACGUGAAAACUAAUAAAGUAGAACUUAAGAAUUAGACCCGAUAUUUUGGCACUUUUAAGUGAAAUUGCCAUUAUUAUUCUUUGAACAAUGCCACAGCAACUAAUUUUCAAUGAUAAUAUAACCAUUUUGAUAUACUUUCAAGCUAUAAUAAAAGUUAUAUGCACUAGGCCUAAUAGUUAGUAUAAAGUUCGGAAAAGAAGAAAAGUGAUUUUUCCGUACCAUGGGAGAUCGAUGGUUAAAUGGAGAGAAUAAAAGAAACCAUGGGAGAUCGAUGGUUAAAUGGAGAGAAUAAAAGAAACGUGAAAAUUUUGGGUAACUCACAAUAAAUAAACUCGAUGAAGGGUUCGAGGGAGAUAGGGGCAAGGGGAUGGUCCCACUCCAGCGCUUGCCACGUCGCCUUGUUAUCUAUGAAAAUCUUUCCAAGGGAGGGGGGAGGAGAAAGGAGGCCAUUGUCAAGUAGGUGCAGUCGCAAAGGAAUACUCUUCAGCUCCGGACAAUCGUAUAUUUCAAUAUAUUGGAUGUGAUCGCAACUCUCCAUCCGAUCACAUAUCCUCUUCAGUUCCCAAAGAUUCUUUAGAGUCAAGUGUGUUAACUUUGGGAAGGAGGAUUGCGUCAUGUUCGGAGCAAUGCCUAUUAUCACCUCUAUGCCCUCGCAGUUUAUGAUUAUUAUAUCUCGGAGGAAAGGGAUGUGGAGCAACAUAUCGUGCGUUAGCAGCACCCCCUUCAUGGUGUUGCAUCUUACAAUUUUAAUCUCCAUAAGAAGACAAGUGGCACCGAUUGGCAAUGGCCCACCUAUUAUUUCCUCUAAUUUCUCACAAUAAAUUAUUCCAAUGGACUUCAGAUUUGGAAGGCGAGUGGUCAGCCAGUCCCAUUCCACCACUCUUUUCAUUUUAUGACAACAUUGCACUUCCGCAGAGUUUAGAUUGGGCGCAGCUAAAUCGAUCCCUUCCAGUUCCUCUGAGCCUGUGAUUGUAAACCAGCGUAGAUGUGGAAGCCCCUGUCCCUCCACUGAGAGACGCUUCAAUUUGGAACAGCAAUUGAUGUCCAGUCCCUCCAGCUGAGGGAAGUGGACAGCACCCAGCUCCUCCAACUUCUCGCAAUCUAGAAUCUUUUAUAGUCAGCUCCUUUAGAUUCUCCAGUGGGCCUACCUCACUCAAACUUGUCACCCCACUGCCCCCUCCUACUUCCAGUACUUGCACAUUUCUCGGAAGCAAAUUGCGGCCUUCCCCACCGAUAAGUCCAUCUACCCUUUGGCGUAAUAGCAUCGCGACUUUCAAUACGUACACAUAUCCUCUGCUCAUGCCAAUUGGAAACGCCUUGUUCACGAGGUUUUACACAAAACAAUUCAAAGAAAUUAGAUACUUGAAUGUAAACAACAUGAAGAAAUUAGAGACUUCCCUGACUAAUCAAGCUUAAUCAAAUUAAACAGAAAGAAAUUCAAUAUGUGCAAAUAUGCAAUUGGAAGUCCAAGAACAGGUGUUCCUUUCUAAAAACGAGUAAGACUAAUUUACACUGGUUUAAUUUUUUGAUUAAAGUGCAGAGAUUAAUUUAAAAAGCAUGUUAGAGUUCGAAAGCGAAAAUAGAAGUACUAGAUGAGGGAAAACAGAAUAGGCAACAAAAAGAAAAUGUAAAAAGCAAUUAACAUGCUCCUUUAAACUCGCCCAACCCAUGAAGUAGAAGUCAGGAAUUGAUUCUAUAUUUUGGCACUUUUAAACGUCAUAAUUUACCAAAAUGAAGAAGAAGUGUAGUAUUUUUAAGGUACAAUAGGUUAAAAAGAGAGAGAGAGAGUGAGGACUGUUCAGUAUUAUCCUUUCAAAGUGAAAGGUGUGUUUUCUUUAUCGAAAUUUCAAUAAUAAUAUAACCAUUUUGAUAUACUUUCGAGUUGUGAUAAAAGUCAUACACACUGGGUCUAACAGUGUGGUAUUAAGUUUCCCCAAAAAAAAAAGAGGGAAACUUACUGUACCGCGGGAGUGCAUCCUUCGAAAGGCCCACAGGAGAUGGAGAGGAUAAAAGAAAAUUAAAAAUUUGCGGGUGACUUACCAUAAUCCCAGGCUAAGUGUCGAAGUGAAGGAUGGAAAGGGGAAUGGUCCCACUCCAGCGACUGCCACGUCAGCUCAUCUAUCCAAAUAUCAUCAUCUAUCCAAAUACCAUAAUCAUCGCAAGGACCCUUGUCAAGCAGAGGAAGCCUCUUCAGCUUCGGACAGUCUUCUAUCUUCAUAUAUUGGAUUGAAAGCCAACUCACGGUCCCUUCACAUAUGGUCUUCAGCUCUGGAAGAAUCCUUGAAAGUCAGGUUUAUUAAAUGUAGGGGCUGAACGAAGCUCAUUAUCGGCUCUACGCUAAUGCAGCCUGGGACCACUACAUGUUGGAGGAAAGGAAGGUUGAGCAACACGUCAUGCCUCAAGUUGCUGCAUCCUUCUAUAUCAAUCUUUGUAAGACAACAAGGUGCACCGAUCGGCGGUAGCCCACCUACUAUCUCCUCUAGUUGCUCGCAAUCUUUUAUUUUAAUGGACCUUAGAUUUGGAAGGUGAGUGGCUAGCCACUGCCAUUUCACCACCCACUUCAUUUUAGGACACCUGUACACUUUUAUAUUAUAAAGAAAAGGUGCCGCUAUAUUAAUCCCCUCUAGUUCCUCUGAGCCCUCGAUUUUUAACCAUUGUAGACAUCGGAGCUCGUGCCCCUCCUUCAAGAAAUGCUUCAGUUUGGUACACCGAGUGAUAUUCAGUCUCGGUAGGCGAGGGAAGUGGACAGCACCCAGCUCCUCCAGCUUCUCCCAUUCCUUUAUCUUCAGCUCCUCUAGAUUAUUAAGUGGGCCUACCUCGCACAAACUUGUCACCUCAUCGCAUUGUCCCACUUCCAGUACUUGCACAUUUUUGGGAAAUAGAGCGCGGCCAUCCCCACCAAUUUCUCCAUUUACCAUUGCCGCAAUACUAUGGCAACUUUCGAUGAUUAUACGCCUCUCGUGCUUAUUAUCCCUAAAGAAGUAGUUUCCUGAUAAACUCAGUGCCAGGUCAUAUGAUUGGGAGCUGUUUUGCUCGACAAGCCUCACACAUGCAUUGAAUGUUUCAACAUUUGGAACAGAGCAAUAGAAUCCUUCCACUGAGCAAUAGAAUCGUUCCACCAAUGUUAAUUCUAUCACUUCCUCCCAUGCCAUAUCGUAAUUAAUCACCAGAUAUUGCAAGUUCACCAGCUUCCCCAACACUCCUUCUGGUAACCCCUUGAUCUAUGUGCCAAGCAGGUCAAGGUACGUUAGCUUUACCAGCAUCUCCAUUCCCUCCGGCACUUCUCCAAGCAUAACACACCCACUAAGGUCCAACUUUUUUAGAGCUUUGAACUUUCGUACACAAGGUACACAAUGUAAUUCCUUACACUCUCGGAGUAACAGUGCUUCUAAGCUCUCCAAGUGAGAUAUAGUGUCCGGUAAUUCCGUGAUUUUUGUUUUGCUGAGAUCUAGAACCUUCAACCCCUUCAUAUGCUUGAAGAAAGAUUUGUGGAUGGCUUCCAAAGAGACAUUGUUAUCCAACGACAGCCUCAUAAGUUUAGGGCAAUUUGGCGAUAUGCCGUAUGGGAUUUCUUUUAUAUCGUUGCUUUGUAAAAAGACUUUCUCUAGGUGAUCGGUCCAGAACUUAUCCUUUGGAAUCUCUUUCAAUCCCAUGUUGGCCUUGACCAUGUGAGUUGUGCUCGUCACUAUUUGCAAUGCCAUGUCCCUUAUCAAGGGGUGUACUAACAGAUAUUCUGUGUCUUUAUCAACCCCCAGGCAAGCCUUUUUUAUUUUGUCCAAUAUGGUGUUACCUUUAUUGUGCAAUUCUUGCCGAGUGGCUAUUCCACUUAACAAGCCCUCAUCCAUGAAAGAUUCUAUCAAAACCUUUUCGAUGAUUUCAGCUUUAGAGUACUCUCCAAAACAGAGUAUUAAAUGCAAGAAAGACUGCUGCACUUGAAGAUUACCCAAGUUCAUGUAACUGAGUUUCAGUUUCUUGAACACACCAAGUUCCAUCAUCGAAUUUUCUAAUUGCUGCAACAAGUCUUUCCAUUCAUGCACUCCCUUUGGUCCCCUCAUCUGAGUUGCAAUCUCAAUGAUCCCAAGUGGCAAACCUCCACACUUAUCCAAAAUGGAGCUUGCAAUUUUUUUAACUUCUGAAGGGAGGUCUCUCCCAAAGCAAAGCUUUUUUAAAAAUAAGACCCAACAAUCAUCUCGCAAAUCUAGAGGACCUAUUUUGACUUGUUUUUGGCAGACCAUCUUCUCAUAUACAUCUAGCAAUCGAGUUGUCAUUACCAACUUAAUGCUUCCUUUCUCAACUGGAAUUCCCACAUCCUCAAUGUCAAAGUGCAUCGACAGACCAUCUAAACAUAAGACAGCUCUCUUUCUCUUCAAAUGCCUAUUCAAUAUGCAUGCCCUCCUCUUCACAUCCUUAUCCAUUGAGAGAUUGUCUAGUCCGACUACAUUGGCAAUCUCGUUUUGUAGUUUAUAGAUGCUAAACUUCCGAGGUACAGUGACCCAGAACACAUCAUUAAAGUUAGGAUCCUCAAGUACUCUAUUAUGGACAUGCAUUAGAAUGGUUGUCUUGCCAACUCCCGCCAUUCCAUAAAUACCAAUGAUGACAAUCUCAUCCUCCAUUAGAUAGUUGCAAAUCUUAUUUAUUGUCUUCUUACUUUCCUUGUCUACUAGCCCUGUUGUUACCAAGGGUGAACUAUUCCUACGUCCAGCAGCAUGUGUUGUCCACCCUUUUCGGAAGCUACAGUGGCCUAGAAUAUCUUAAACUUCUUUGCUCAAAUCAUUUACUCUUUCUACCUGCUGUGGAGAAAGAGAUCUACCUUCUCGGAAUGCUUGGACCAUGCUCCAGUAUUCUCCUCUUAUCCUUUGUGCUUUCCUACACCAUGUCUCCAACCCAUCCAUGUCUGCUUCUCGAUUGCUUAGUUCUUCCAGCUUUCUUUUCAGAGUUGGCAUAUUCUUGUCAACCAGCCCACAAGCACCUGGUUGACCAUCCACGAGUGCAUCAUCUGUCCUCGCAUCUAACAUCAAGGAAAUACUCAGUAUUUUCUAGAAACAUAAUGUUCACAAAACAAUAUGAAAUAAGACGAAAUGUAAGGUUGUGUAUAUAUAAGAGAAAGAAAGGCGGGGGGGGGGGUGCCUUGGGGGUCCUUGGGAUUGGGCGAGAGAAAGAGAAAGAGAAAGAAAGGGGGCGAGAGCAUUUGCCCUGUUGCUGGGUUUAGUUGCUAUCGGUUUGCUUUGAGCUGUUGAUGGGUUCAGGUAGUAUCUGGGCCUGUAUGGGAUGGGUUGAAUUGAUAUUUUGACCAGUAUAGGAUGGGUUGAAUCGUUAUUUAGGCAUGUAUGGGAAGUGGUUCUCCCUGUAUUUUACAUUAAUAUAAAAAGUUGAAAAUUGAAGUAUGUAUUUUAGCAUAAAUUACUCGUGAAAACGUAUCAUAUUUCAUAUGAAUCUUCAUGUUUUAAACAAAGUGCAAUUCCAAGUAAUAUAUAUUAGUGUAAAAUAUAUGGACUUGAUAACAGUUAGGGAAUUUUUAAUGGUAGUUAUUACAUGACAUAAAGGAAUAUGUAUGAAAUCAACUCCAUUACUGUCAUAUUAAGAGAAAAUAAUAAAAUCUUUCAAAUAAAUAUUUAAAAAGGAAAAAAAAGAGUUACAAAGAAUGUUUGAGAUUUCAAUAAUUGCUAAUUUGCAACAUUAGAGAUUAUUAAAACUAAUCCUUUUUCCUCAUGGUAUUGAAUGGGGUAAGUAAUCCUAGUUAAAGGCAAAAUGAGUGGAGAGUGCAACAAAAUACCACUUGCAAAGAGAAUAAGCAAUCUCUUUCAAUUUAGACUCCUAAGUGUCACUUCUAAAGGCAACACUCAAGAAUGAGCUUGUUAUUAUAUAUUUUUAUAGAUGCUAACAUUUAUGUAUCUAUUCUUUCAAAAUGUUCGAGCGGUACAAUACUAGAAAAAUUUAGAUCAACCCCAUAAGUUAAAAGUAGAAGUUAAAAAUAAAUGUCCCCUUAACCAGACCCUAAGUUGAAAUUUGAAAUUUGAAAUUUGAAAUUUGAAAUUAAAGCCUUAAAAAAAGGAGAUAUACCUCAUAUCUACAUCUAAGGUAUGAAGACUAAUAUCCCAACUGUUCUAUAAAAAAAGAACUAUACUUGCUUUCAAUUGGAUCAUUGAUUGGUGGGUGACCCAUUUGAAUGUCACUCAAACGCGAUGGUAACUAAUAGCACCAGGAGAAAACUGAACCAUAUAUUAUCGAUGGCUUGGAGACAAUGCAUGACAAUAUUUUGUCCCAUUAUCGUACUUUUGUUAAUGUCCCAACAAUUCCAACCAUACUUAUUCAAAAAUAUGAAAACAAGCAAUAUUCAUAUAAUUUAAAUUUAAGAUGAAUGAAGGUGCUGUUAGUUAAAAUCUCAUAUAGGCGGCAUUUGAAUGUGAAAACAAUCAAUUAAAGGAUGAUUUGGAGGUAAGUAUGAAUCAUUGAAAGAGCAAAUAAUUUAUUGUACGCUGUCAGAAAAUAAUCAUAUGUUUAUGAUGACUUCUUUUCUGUCAUUACAUAUUUUGUGAUCCGUCGAGAAGCAGUCAAUUUAAAUUUUAGGUUCAUCUAAUACUUUUUAGUUUGAAAUUAAAGUAUUUAGAUAUGAUCAAAUGCAUGAUUAAAGAUAAUUCCUAUCUCUGUGCGGUUGACAGACAUCAAAGGUUCCCAUGAAAUAUCUUUUAUGCAGCACUUUACUUUAAAUUACUAACAGUAAUUGGCAUAUAAACCUUGUAAUUUUAUUUCCAAUAAAGAUUUCGUGUUGUUAAUUUUCUUGAAAUGUGUUGCUUGGCCAAGAAAUAUGAGAUCAGUACACAUUUGGACUCGUUUAAGGGGAAACAAGGAAAUUUUCAUGAAUUUUGUGAAGUCGUCAAGACAAUACCAGUCCCCUUGACACAUCGAAAAUAUUUUGAAAACUGGAAAGUGCCUACCAAAUGCAUGCUUACCCCUUCUAUGCAUCCUCUUUUUUAAUUUGGAA
RNAcentral lists this long non-coding RNA (71671 nucleotides) under Eucalyptus grandis. RNAcentral describes it as "long non-coding RNA (EGRA_LNC003581)". The record is from RNAcentral. Lineage: Eukaryota; Viridiplantae; Streptophyta; Magnoliopsida; Myrtales; Myrtaceae.